GGUAGCAGCAAAGGAUUCAGGCUGCUUCCGUGAUGUUUUUUCUCCCGAUUAAUUUGUAUGUUGGUUUGAUCAAGCAAUGUUAAUUCUUUUGUCCGUCGAGAUCAUGUUCUGCCGCGAAAUUGUGCUGCAGUUAAGAUGUUCACGAGGUGCAACCUCUCUUCUCCUGAAAGACUGAAAGAAAAUGGUGUUGGUGCACCGGUACCUGUUGUGUUACAAUUUGAACAGCUGCUGACGGAAAAAAGAAACCUAGCAGGAGUAUAAGUUUUGUCAUAUGGUUUGCAGUAGAAACUAUACAUUUUAAUCUGGAACAGUAGCAACUACAUAUCGUUCUGAAUAUGAAAUGCAUGAACUUUUAUAGUUCCAAGCAAACUUGGAUGUACUACUCCAGUUUACACUAGGUCAUUUAUGCUUUUGCAAUCAAUUGGAACUAUGAAGGCUCACACACAAGUCCCAUGACAAAAUUGAACGUUCAGCACCACGGCAACAGGCAUGCUUGUUAGUCCAGGGGAAGCAGCUCAAAACUCUGUGUAGACAUGAACAUAAUCAGCUCGUACAAGGACUGAAUGUUCAGACUAACACCGACUGAACAAAUCAGCUCGUACAUAUGAUUAGACUUGCAGGUCAAAUGUCUGCAGUUCAAGCACUUCUGAAGAAUCGUUCAGAUCCAUUUCGAAAGUGGUUUCGAAUACAUAUUAGUGUGCAUGCCAGAUUAGAUCAGCACUUCAGCACAACAACCUUUGACAAUAUAUAGCUCGAUGACGAUGAUUAGGAUAGAGCCUGUUCUUCUGCCGUUAUCUUUGCCGUCUGGUCAAUGCUGAAAACAAUGUUGUGAGCUCCCAGCGACUAAGUGUAGUGUCCUUCACGUCUUGGCCGGCCGAACAUGAAAACUAUAUCAGAGAAAUUGUCAGAAUCUGCUCUGCACUUCUGUUCGGAUUGGAUACCCGUUUCUAGCUCUCAAGACAGUUAGUGCAGCUCCAUGAACUUGAACUAAUUUUCAAGCCUUUUCGUUUGUCCAAAGUCCAUGUAGGAAAACAUCUUGUCCAAUCAAUGUGAUAUACUCCCUCCAUCCACGAAUAAAUGUACGUUUGACAUUCAAAAUUUAUUCACAAAAAAUGUACUUCUAUAUUUUCAAUGCACUUUAAAAUAGAAAGAAAUGCUUCUCUCUCAUCACACGGUAAUCAAGACCAAUAACAUUCAACACAUAGUCUCCCCAAGUUUUAGAUAAAACCAUGGACCAAAUCCACCCAAAUCUUCUUCCACUAUAAUUAAAUGUGAGAUACAAGAAAUUGUUGUCUAGAUAGCACGAGAGGCUCACAUACAUCAAGACCUCUCAAUCUUGGAUGGCAACAACAAGAUUUGGGGCUCAAGAGAUUGUGUUGGAACAAUCUCACCAAAGAUGUGGAAUCAGUAUCUUGAAAGAGACAAGGUGGUGGAUCAAAUCAUCACAACCUUAGGUUUGAGCUCCCUUUGCUUGCUUGAAGCUCUUCCUUCAAUCUUUCUUUAUGUUUUCCUCUUCUUCUCCAACGAAGGCUAACCUGAUUUUCGUCAUUUAUAUUGGUGGCUUCUGGAUGGGACUAGACCUCCCCCUUCCCUCGCAUGCAAAUAGCAAAAUGACCCAAGGUCAUUAGCCUAUGGGCGGUGGGCUUUGCCACAUGUUUGGGCUGUCUAAGGCCAUGUUCGGUUGACAGGGUUGUGGAGGGGUUUUGACAGGGAUUGAGGUGGAUUAAAUCCUCUACAAGUCAAAUCCCCUCCAAUCCUUUUAGGGCAGGGUGUAACCGAACAAAGCCUAAAUGACUCACAUUUAUCAUCUCUUUUUUUUGAGGAAAAACUUUCAAUCUAUUCAUCUUCAAUCAUAGCAGUACAACGAAUACCAGAAAAAAAAAUUACAUCCAGAUUCGUAGACCACCUAGCGACGACUACAAGCACCGAAUCGAGCCGAAGGCGCGCCGCCGUCAUCGCCCCUCCAUCACCGGAGCCAGGCACAAGUUGUUGUAGUAGACAGUCGGGAAGUCGUCGUGCUAAGGCCCCAUAGGACCAACACCCCAGAACAGCAACCGCCGCCGAUGAAAAAUAACAUAGAUCGGAAGGAUCCAAACCGAAGACACACGAACGUAGACGAACAACGACGAGAUCUGAGCAAAUCCACCAAAGAUAGAUCUGCCGGAGACACACCUCCACACGCCCACCAACGAUGCUAGACGCACCGCCGGAACAGGGGCUAGGCGGGGAGACCUUUAUUCCAUCUUCAGGGAGCCGCCGCCGUCUCGCCUUCCUGAGUAGGACACAAACCCUAACAAGAUUGAAAAAACGGACUAAAAACGGAGCCCUCCCGCCGGCCCUUGCCAGGAUCCACCGUGCCUCCAUGGCCCUAGGGCCACCGGAGACGAGGCGGACCUGCGCCGGUGCCGGCGAGAGGCACGAACCCUAACUUUCUUUCUUGGAGGAGGAGGAGGAGGAGGCUCACAUUUGUCAUCUCAUUACGACCCACAUGAGGAGGUAUCCCAACAAUAAGUGUAUAUAUCUUUUACAAUGUGCACACUAAACAAAAUCAGUGCUCAAAGUUUUGUGCACUUUUGAGCAGUGGUUUUGUUAUUUUUGGUGAGGGCUCCUUGAAUGUUAUUUGCGGAUGAAAUUUAGUAAGAAGCUAAAACUUUUGAUCUUGUUUGAUUUCAAAAAAACUGAUUUUUUUGUAAUAUAUGUUCUGAAUUUGCUGUUCAUCUGGGUGCACCUACAUCGGGAGCAGACACACCUUUCUGCUAAGCAAAUAAAAAAAACUAAAAAGGUAUAAUAUUUAUCCAGUCCCUCAACUAUUGUGAAAGUCCAAAUUUGGUCACUCAAAUUAAAACAAUAAAACGUUGGUCUGUAAAGUGUCAUCUGCAUUUGUCCCUUGGUUCGGUCAAAGUAGUUUUGAUGAUCACUUGACUGUGGUUUUGCACACAUGGAAGCCCACUGGACGACUAUUGUGAAACAAUGAAAAACGGUGAAUGAGAAUAAAUGGAAUAUUUUUUAUGGGCAAAGACAACUACUCAAAAAAUUACCAUGGUUUUACGUAUUUUGGAAAUGCGCAACGAUUAUGAAAAUUAAGAAAACUGUGGGCUUUGUAAACUUCUUGAAAAUCGUAGAAAUCGGCAAAGAUGCUAAUUAUUUUCCUUUAUUACUCAUGAUUUUUUCUACUCGUCUUCCCCUCGAGUUAGGGUUUUGUUCUCGCGGCGGCGACUACGACGCCGUCGAGUAGAUCGUUUUUUCCUUCCCUAUCGCCGAUCUCUCUCUGUCUUCCUCCAUCGCUCACCCCACGCGAGGCUAGGCAGGGAACGGUGGUUCUAGGGUUUCCCCAAUAUACCCGGUCAGUUUUUGCAUCGGGUAAGGUUCUUCUGAUGGCUGCUGAUGGGGCCUCGAGCUCCUCGGGUGCAAGCGACGUCGAGCGGAUGAUGGCAGAACUUGGACUGAAGGAAGAAGAUCUUGAUGAUGUGAUCUUCGAUGAGAAAGAUGCGCCUCCACAGGGACCCAGAUGGAUUGCGUUGGCUAGGGUAAACACCUCCAAAUCGUACAGUCAGACGUGGUUCUACAGAAACAUGCGGUCAGCAUGGAAUAUAGCGCAGGAGGCCAAGUUUAAGCCCUUGGAAGAUAAUCUGUACUGAGUUCAACUGUCUUGUUUAAGAGAUUGGGAGAGAGUUAUGCAUGAGGGACCUUGGAAUUUCCGAGGGGAUGCAGUGCUUCUUGCGCCUUAUGAUGGGGUCUCAAAACCUUCAUCCAUCAAGGUGAAGACAAUUGACAUAUGGAUCCAGAUACAUGAUGUUCCUGAUCUGUUUGCUCACCUGGUUACCGCACUAGCUGCAAAGGUGGGGGAAGUGCUAUUCACAUAACAACCGUCUCAUGACUUUGUUGGGAAUUUCCAUAGGGUGUGGAUUCGAUUGAAUGUGUUUAAACCCCUAAAGAACGCUGUAUCUAUGAUCAGAGGGGGGGGGAGACAGAUCUACAGGGUAAAGUAUGAGAAGCUCCCUGAUUGGUGCGCCGUGUGUGGUAUGUUGGGUCAUCUCUAUAAGGAACACGGUACUGGGAUUCAUCCCCCUUCGGCUCUAGUCUUCAAGGAUUUACGAGCUAGCUGGGCCAUGCGAGCGAGCCAAGGUCCUGGAGAGGGCCGAGGUAGGAGAGGUGGCUGCAGGGGAGGCCGGACAGGGGGACGAUCAGGCAACCGCCGCGAGGCCGACAUGAACAACUUCCCAGCUUAUCAGGGGACGGGAAGGAGAGAGGACGACAUGGUAGUUGGAUGGCAAUGGCAACGAUGCUGAUAUGGAUGAUCUCACAAGGAAGAGGUUGGCUGGGUUGCCGCUGUAAGGCAAUGUGCACAACAACACAAAAGGUGAUGCUACAGAUAAGCUAGCAAUCGUGCCGAUGGGCACUUCCGUGUCCAGUCCCCCUCACAGAGAGAACCCAAGAGGACCCGAAAGGAAGAUGAUGGCAGUGAUGGACAGGUUUCGGCAAUGAAGAGUUUGGCAGGCUCCUUCGAGGAGCGCCGCCGGGCCCAAUGAGUGCCCUUUGCUGGAACUGCCGUGGAGCGGGCAAACCAGCGGCAGUCCGAGAACUUCGCGAAUUUGCGAGGAAGUUUACCCCUACCCUACUUUGUAUUGUGGAGACACGGAUUGAAGGUUCUAGGGUAGAAGCUUUAGCUAGUUCUAUUGGUUUUGAUAAUGCUUAUGCAGUGUUUAGUCAAGGUAGGAGUGGUGGUAUCGGUUUGUUUUGGAACAAUGAAAUAAAAGUUGAAAUUCUGGGUUACUCCGUUUACCAUCUUGAUGUCUCUGUAGAGGAGCAGGGUGAGGAUAAGUGGAGACUAACGUGUGUUUAUGGCGAGGCGCAGACGCACUUACGGCACCAAACAUGGACAACUUUGAAAAACAUCAGUACAACAAGCAGCUUAUGUAACACCCAGGAUGUAACUUUCCAUCUUUGUAACUCCAACUCUUGCCAUUUUCGGCUAUGUGAUAUGAUAUUUCCUCCGUGGUUGGGUUUUGUCUUUUGUUUUUCAUUUUAUUCAUGUCAUGCAUAUCAUAUCAUGUCAUCAUGUGCAUCUCAUUUGCAUACGUGUUCGUCUUAUGCAUCCGAGCAUUUUCCCCGUUGACCGUUUCGCAAUCCGACACUCCCACAUGCACCGGCGCACCCCUCUUGUCUCCUUUCGUGUGCGGGUGUUGAACGUUCUCGGAAUGGACCGAGCCUUGUCAAGUGGCCCUGGUAUAGCACCAGUAGACCACCUGUCAAGUUUCGGGUCAUUUGGAGCUCGUUUGGUACUCCAACGGUUAACCGCACUCUCGCUAAGGCCUCUUUUAAGUUGCAGCCCAACACCCCUCCAAAACAGCCCAAUAACCCAUCUAAGUCACCUCCAUGCUCUCGGUCGUUCGAUCACGAUCAUGUGGGCGAAAACUACACCCCAUUUGGACACUCCUAGCUCCCUCUACCUCUAUAUAUAGACCCCUCCCCCGAAUUCCGGACGAAACCCUAGCGAAUUCCCCUUCCGCCGCCACCGGACAGGUCCGGCCGCAGCCGGACACGUCCGGGUUGCCCUGCCGCCGCCACGUGUCGCCGCCUGGUUCGUCCGCACCGCCGCCGCGCCAGUCCCCGCCGCCGGCCCGGNNNNNNNNNNNNNNNNNNNNNNNNNNNNNNNNNNNNNNNNNNNNNNNNNNNNNNNNNNNNNNNNNNNNNNNNNNNNNNNNNNNNNNNNNNNNNNNNNNNNNNNNNNNNNNNNNNNNNNNNNNNNNNNNNNNNNNNNNNNNNNNNNNNNNNNNNNNNNNNNNNNNNNNNNNNNNNNNNNNNNNNNNNNNNNNNNNNNNNNNNNNNNNNNNNNNNNNNNNNNNNNNNNNNNNNNNNNNNNNNNNNNNNNNNNNNNNNNNNNNNNNNCCGGCCUCGCCCUCCUCUCCUCCGGCCGCCGUCUCCAGCGCGCCCCGGCCUCGUCCUCCUCCCUCCGGCCGCCGUCGUCCCCGUCUCCGGCGAGCCGCGCUGCCGCCUCGGGAACCGCGCGCGCCAGAUCCAGAUCCAGAUCGGACCGGUUGACCUCUUCCCCCCUGUUUAUUUCACUAAGUCUUUUAUCUGCUGGUAAAAUCAUUGCAUGUUCAUCGCAUCACAUCUUCGCAUCCGUAGCUCCGUUUUGUGCGUGUAAUAUGUCAAAUUGUUCGCCUCGAAGAGUACAUCAUUUCAUUCCAUUGCAUCAUUUACAUUUGAGGUCAUCUUGAUGCCCGAAAUGCUGUUGGAAGAGGGCUUCAUAUUGUUAGUUUCAGAUCCUUAUCAGCACGAGCUCUUUUGUCAUUUUUGCCAUGAUUGAUGUGUGCAUCCUAUGAGGUUGAUCCCUAAAUGUGUUUUGAACUAGGCUAUGUCUUCUUUACAGAGGUGCUUACCAUGUAUUUUUGUGAUCAAUGUGGUGACUAGCACAAGCAUGCAAACUAGGCUUCGUGUUAACGCUGAUUUUAGUUCCUGUUCUGCUGCAAAUUUGAUGCCAUGUAAACAUGUUGCUAUAGAGAGAUCCAUGCAUAAUUUGAGAUACUUCAGUAAGGGUGUUUUGAAAACAUGGUUUUGCUCUAUUCAUCCAUGGUCCUGGUUGCAAUUAUGGAGUAGUCUAGCAUGUCAUUUUCGUGCUCUAUUUUUGCUUCAAACUGUUUCCUGGCAGAUUGUUUACAUGUUAUUCAAUUUGGCCGAGGUUGUUGUAGUUGGUCCGGGUAUGCUAUGAUGUUGUUUCUUGCCAUGUAUAGAUUCUAUGUCAUGUCUUUUUGAUCGAUGUAUGCUUAGUUUAUCAUGAGGAGCUCUAUAGUGAGUGCAUCGAGCUCGCGAAGGUGCCUUCGUAAUUAUUUCAAUGCCAUGCUUUGUUUGCUGAAAUCUGUUAACGAAACUUGCUAUGUUUACGUGGGUGCCAUCAUAUUUUCUAGUCCUUUUUGGCUUAUGGUCAGUAAGGAACUUUUGAUCUAUGCUUUGAGUAGAUUUAUGCCAUAUCUUAUUUUGCUAUUAUAAGUUCCUGUAGCAUGUUGAUAACCUGCUCUGAACAUUGCUUCGUGCUGCUGUUUAUGCCAUGUCCAGCCUGAUAAUGUUUUUGCACUUUCUUCAUGCUUGUUUGAACCUGUUAUGAUGUGAUUGAGCCGUAGCUCAGUGUUCCUAUUUUGUAAAGCAUCUCCUGUAGAUCACUGCCAUAUGAUUUGUUUUCAUGUUGGGGUGCUGUAGCAUAGUUUCUUGUUGCAUGCUAAGUAGCAUCGUGCUGUUAAAUGCAGCUUUGUGUCAUACUUGUCUUGCUUGCCAUUUGCAAACCGUGCAUCCGUUCCCGGCGAUCUUUAUAUCGAUUUCACCCGAAUCAUCUCAUCUUUCCAGCGGCAUACUUGGUUUGCCAAGUUGAUGCCUUGUUCAUCCUUUUUCCUCCCGAAGCACGCAUAUGCAUUGCAUAUCACAUCUCGCAUAUCAUGACAUGUUUUGCAUCAUAUUGCUUGCGCAUUGCAUAGUGAUUUAUUGUGGUUCCUUGCUUGUGUUCUUGCUUUGGGUAGAGCCGGAAGACGAGUACGUGCACGAGGAACCUGUUGAGAACGCUUACGAGGAUCAAACCUUCGACAACUCUGAGAACCUUGCAGGCAAGAUGAUCAUACCUUCGAAAUCAUUACUAUCUUUGCUUGCUAGUACUCGCUCUUUCGCUAUGUUAGCCCUACCUGCCUUUAUCUACCAUGCCUACCUAUUGCCAUGUUGAACCUCUAACCAUCCUGUCCUAGCAAACCGUUGUUUGGCCAUGUCACCGCUUUUGCUCAGCCCCUCUUAUAGCAUUGUUAGCUGCAGGUGAAGCUGAAGUUUGUUCCAGGUCGGAACAUGGUUAUUUUGGGGUAUCACAAUAUCUCCUGUUUAUAUUAAUGCACCUUAUAUACUUGGUAAAGGGUGGAAGGCUCGGCCUUAUGCCUGGUGACUUGUUCCACUCUUGCCGCCCUAGUUCCGUAUACCGGUGUUAUGUUCCUUGAUUUUGCGUUCCUUACACGGUUGGGUGAUUUAUGGGACCCCCUUAACAGUUCGCUUUGAAUAAAACUCCUCCAGCAAGGCCCAACUUUGGUUUUACCAUUUGCCACCUAAGCCCUUUUCCUUUGGGUUUUCGCGAGCCCAAGGGUCAUCUUUAUUACCCCCCCCCCCCGGGCCAGUGCUCCUUCGAGUGUUGGUCCGAAAUGAGCUGCCUGCGGGGCCACCUCGGGGAAACUUGAGGGCUGGUUUUACUCGUAGCUAGUCUCAUCUGGUGUCGCUCUGAGAACGAGAUAUGUGCAGCUCUUAUCGAGAUUUGUCGGCGCAUCGGGCGGCUUUGCUGGUCUUGUUUUACCAUUGUCGAAAUGUUUUGCGAACCGGGAUUCCGAGACUGAUCGGGUCUUCCCGGGAGAAGGUCUAUUCCUUCGUUGACCGUGAGAGCUUGUGAUGGGCUGAGUUGGGACACCCCUGCAGGGUAUAUAAUCUUUCGAAAGUCGUGCCCGCGGUUAUGAGGCAGAUGGGAAUUUGUUAAUGUCCGGUUGUAGAUAACUUGACACUUGACCUCUUUAAAAUGCAUCAACCGUGUGUGUAGCCGUGAUGGUCUCUUCUCGGCGGAGUCCGGGAAGUGAACACGGUUUGUGUUAUGCUUGACGUAAGUAGUUUCAGGAUCACUUCUUGAUCGCUUCUAGCUUCUCGACCGCCGCGUUGCUUCUCUUCUCGCUCUCAUUUGCAUAUGUUAGCCACCAUAUAUGCUUAGUGCUUGCUGCAGCUCCACCAUAUCACACCUUUACCUACCUAUGAGCUUAAAUAGUCUUUAUCUCGCGGGUGUGAGAUUGCUGAGCCCUCGUGUCUCAUAGAUUCUACCAAAACAGAUGCAGGUGCCGAGGAUACUGGCGCAAAUGGCGCAACUGAGCUGAAGUGGGAAUUUGAUGAGGCCCUUGGUCGUUACUAUGUAUCGUUUCUAGAUGAUCAGUAGAGGUGCCCAGUCGGGACGAUCGGGCAUCUAUGUAGCAUUUGGGGUAGUCUUCUUUUAUUUUGGUUCCGUAGUCGGACCUUGAGUGUAAUCUGGAUGAUGGAUGUUUAUUUAUGUAUUGUGUGAAGUGGCGACUGUAAGACAACUAUGUAUCUUUUCCCUUAUGUAUUACAUGGGUUGUGCGAAGAUUACCUCACUUGCGACAUUGCUUUCAAUGCGGUUAUGCCUCUAAGUCGUGCUUCGACACAUGGGAGAUAUAGCCGCAUCGAGGGUGUUACAAGUUGGUAAUCAGAGCUAUCCCCGACUUAGGAGCCCCUGCUUGAUUGUUUGCUGGCGAUGUUGAGUCUAGAAACAAAAAUGUUUUGAGUCUUAGGAUUAUAUAUAUCGGAGAGUAGGAUUCUUUUUACUCCUCAGUCCCUUCGUCGCUCUGGUGAGGUCUCCUGACGUAGAUGUUUUGACUAUCCUCUUCUCAAAUUUCACUAAAAAAAUUUUAGGAUCACGCGGGUAUCUUGGAAUCGUUCUGAUAGUUUUGUGACGAGAACAUUAUUCUUGGUGCCUCCUGACAUUUAGGGGUUGUGGCAGUGUCCCGGGGAGUUGAGCUCCGAGGUGUUGUCGUCACAAUUUUAUCGUUGCAGUUCUGGAAUACCUGAGAUUUGCCGACAUCGAAAAUCUCUUUUAUGCAGUUGUUGGUGAGAUAACCCCGAUAACCCAGUACUUGGGCGAGCUCGGGAGUAUUGCCAUAACUCGUAUAACGGAUGCUUUUCGAAGGUUGAGGUACACGAUUUCCGAAGGUUUCUUGGUUAUGUGUUGACGGAUGGAUACAGCUGGAUGUAGGGAUUGCUAGUUUGGGUGAGAUAUUGUGCUUCCCCUGUAUCCCCAACACCAGAUUGCAUAACCAGAAAGUUUCGGGAGUUUAUAGGUGGGAUUCAAGUAGCUCUAGCAUUUCUUCCCGCAGAUAUUUGGUUUGUGAUUGGGUAAUCCUUACCACGUAUUUGUUCCAGUCGUACCUUGUUUAUUUCAUUCAUCAAUCUCUAUUCAAGUGGCUUCUCACCUUAAUGGACGUGUGAUGUUUACUUUGGAAUUCAUUCGUUCAUCCUUGUUUGAAUGUUUAUAGUUUAUUGUGAAGACUAUAUGUUGCAAUUUCUAUCCGAUUGAUUCAACUUGUCUAUCUGUCUAUCAAGAUGCUAACGGAUGUCACCCUCUUCAGGAUGGCUCCGCCAACGCGUCUGAAUCCGGAACGCAAUGAUGGGAGUCAGGCGAACCGUCCACCUCCACCUCCGCCUCCGGAGGCAUGGCAAGCUUUGAUGGCAGCCUCUAACGCUCAUGCUCAGAUGAUGAUCCAGCUCAUGCAAGAGCGCAACCAAGGCCAAGGCAACCAAGGGAAUCAAGGUCAAGGGCAGUUCAAUCAUCAGCCUCAGUUUCCUACCCUCAACCAAUUCCUUGCAAAUCAGCCGAAGUCUUUCAGCUAUUGUGUCGAGGCCACAGACGCCGAUGAUUGGCUCGUGGAUAUCAACAAGCAUUUUCAAUGCAGCAAUGUUAGGCCUGAGGACUAUGUCAAGUUCGCUUCUUUUCAGCUUAAGGAUCAGGCAGCUGAUUGGUUCCAGCAAUACAAGGAUUCCAGAGGUGGUCGAGUGAUUACUUGGACUGAUUUCUGUCGGGACUUUAAAGCUCACCAUAUUCCUACCAGUGUUGUUGAGAGCAAGCGAGAGGAGUUCCGCAAUCUCAAGCAAGGCAACAUGUCAGUGUAUGAAUAUAACAAGCAGUUUCAGAAACUUGCUCGCUUUGCUAAGCAAGAUGUUCCAGAUGAAAAAAGUAUGAUCUAUCAGUUCAGAGGUGGCCUUAGAGAGGAUCUGCAGUUAGCUCUCGUUCUUAUUGAGCCUACUCAGUUUGAUCAAUUCUACAAUAUGGCACUCAAGCAAGAAGGUGCUCAGCUCAAGUGUGAGGCUUCUAAGAAGAGAAUCAGAGAUGCAGUGCAAUCUUCUUCUUCCUCACAAGUGGCAGCUAAGCAGCAGAAGUUCUACCUGCCUCCUCCUCCGUUUCGUCAGCCUUACCAGCAGAAGAACUCAGGUGGUCGUGGAUCUUCCCACCCACCCAACCCAAGCUAUCAGAACAAGUCUCAGCCUCAAGCUCCAAGGUCAAGUGCUCCCUAUCAUCGUCCACUCUCAGAAGUGACUUGCAACAAGUGCCAGUAGAAAGGUCACUACACGAACAAAUGCUUAAAUCAAAGGCGCCUUCCUCCUCCUCCUCCUGUGAGAUCUUCAAGCAAUGCAGUGGUCAAGCAUAAUUCCAAGUCUACAAAGGUCAACAUGUUGAAUGCAGCUUAGGCAGAGGAUUCUUCAGAUGUGAUCAUGGGUAAUCUUCCAGUUAAUGAUAUUCCUGCAAAAGUCUUAUUUGAUACUGGUGCAUCGCAUUCUUUCAUGUCAUAUCCUUUUGCAUCGAAGCACAAUUUUGACACAGAGGAGUUACCUAGAGCUAUGCAAGUUAUUUCUCCAGCUAAGUGUUUGAGCUCUAGCAUGAUGGUUCCAAAUGUCGGUAUCAAGAUGGGCGACUAUAAAUUUUUGUCUUCUCCAGUUGUUCUUGGCGAUUCUGAUAUUGAUCUAAUUCUCGGGAUGGACUGGCUUUCUAAGCACAAGGCUCAGCUUGAUUGUGCUGCCAGGCAAAUUCAAUUGACUCACCCUUCUGAGGAUGUUAUCAUCUAUGCCGCUCGUGAUGAAACCAUUCGGUUGUUUUCUCUCAAUGAGAAGGGCGAAUUGGAUGCUAUUUCUCAAAUUCCAGUCGUUUGUGAGUACCAAGAUGUCUUUCCAGAAGAGCUUCCGGGUAUGCCUCCUCAUCGGCCAGUCGAGUUCGUUAUUGAUCUUGAGCCUGGAACAGAACCCGUUUGCAAGCGUCCAUACAAGCUUGGACCCAAGGAGCUGAAGGAAUUGAAGAAGCAGCUCGAUGAACAAGAGCGUCUGGGUUUGAUCAGACCGAGUUCUUCCCCAUGGGGUUGUGGAGUUCUUUUUGUCCAGAAGAAGGAUGGCACGGACCGACUUUGUGUCGAUUACCGUCCAUUGAACAAGAAGACUAUCAAGAACAAGUACCCACUUCCCAACAUCAAUGAGCUUUUCGAGCAACUCAAAGGGGCUAAAGUCUUCUCCAAGCUUGACCUUCGUAUGGGUUAUCAUCAGAUUCGCAUUCGUGAACAAGACAUUCCCAAGACAGCAUUCAGAACAAGCUAUGGUUCUUAUGAAUAUACUGUCAUGUCUUUGGGCCUUGUCAAUGCUCCUCCAACGUUCUCUCGCAUGAUGAACUUUAUCUUCAACCCCUACACCAAUGAAUUUGUUUUGGUGUAUCUCGAUGAUAUUUUGGUCUUCUCCAAGAAUAAGCAGGAUCAUGCCAAACAUUUGCGAUUGGUGCUCGACAAGCUCAGAGAGUAUCAAUUCUAUGCAAAGUUUUCCAAAUGUGAGUUCUGGCUUGAUGAAGUUCUUUACCUUGGCCAUAUCAUCUCCGCCAAGGGAAUUGCUGUUAAUCCGGCGAAGGUUUCUGCAGUUCUGAAUUGGGAACCUCCUCAGAAUGUCAAACAGCUCUGCAGUUUUCUCGGUCUUGCAAGUUAUUGCCGAAGAUUCGUUGAGAACUUCUCUAAGAUUGCAAAACCUCUUUCCAACCUCCUCCAGAAGCAUGUCAAGUAUGUCUGGACGCCUGAGUGCGACGUCACUUUCAACACCCUCAAAGAGAAGCUAGUCAUAGCUCCUGUUUUGACUCCUCCUGAUGAAUCCAAGCCAUUCGAAGUAUUCUGUGAUGCUUCCCUUCAAGGUCUCGGUGCUGUGUUGAUGCAAGAGAAGAAAGUUGUGGCCUAUACCUCUCGUCAGUUGAAGCCCAACGAAAAGAACUACCCCACUCACGAUCUUGAGUUGGCGGCAGUUGUCCAUGCAUUGAUAACAUGGAGACAUCUCUUAUUGGGAAGGCAAGUGGACAUUUUCACCGAUCACAAGAGCCUCAAGUAUAUCUUCACUCAACCCAACCUUAAUCUCAGGCAAACUCGAUGGGUCGAAAUGAUUCAAGAGUACAAUCCGAGUAUCGAAUAUACUCCUGGCAAGGCGAAUGUGAUUGCAGAUGCUUUGAGCAGAAAGGCUUAUUGCAACAGUCUAAUUCUCAAGCCGUUUCAACCGGAUCUCUGUGAAGCCUUCCGCAAGCUGAAUCUUCAAGUUGUUCCUCAAGGCUUUCUUGCCAACCUCAUAGUCUCUCCUACUUUGGAAGAUCAAAUUCGUGAGGCACAACUCCUGGAUACCAUGGUGAAGAAGGUGAAACGUGGUAUUGACAAGGGCAUUCCUAAAUACAAGUGCUAUCGCUUGGAUGACAAAGAUACUCUUUUCUUCGAGGAUCACAUUGUGGUUCCAAAAGGCGAUCUGAGAAAAGUCAUCAUGAAUGAGGCACACAAUUCCCUCCUAUCCAUUCAUCCUGGAAGUACAAAGAUGUACCAUGACCUCAAGCAGUCAUAUUGGUGGACUCGAAUGAAGCGAGAGAUUGCUCAAUUCGUGAAUGAAUGUGAUGUCUGCAGAAGAGUGAAAGCAGAACACCAAAGACCAGCUGGUCUCCUCCAACCUCUUGCUAUUCCGGAAUGGAAGUUUGACCAUAUCGAGAUGGACUUCGUGACUGGUUUUCCUAAGUCCAAGCGUGGAAAUGAUGCUAUCUUCGUUGUCAUUGACAAGCUUACCAAAGUGGCUCAUUUUCUUCCUAUCAAAGAAUCUAUCACAGCAGCUCAGCUGGCAGAGCUAUACACCUCCAGAAUUAUCUCCUUGCACGGCAUUCCACAAUUGAUAUCUUCAGAUCGUGGAAGCAUCUUCACUUCUAAGUUCUGGGACUCCUUUCAGACGGCCAUGGGCACCAACAUUCGUUUCAGCACAACUUUCCAUCCUCAAACAAGUGGCCAAGUCGAGCGAGUAAAUCAAAUCCUUGAAGAUAUGCUCAGGGCUUGUGUCAUCUCUUUCGGUAUGAAGUGGGAAGAUUGUCUUCCAUAUGCCGAGUUUUCCUACAACAAUAGCUUCCAAGCGAGUUCAGGCAAGGCCCCAUUUGAAAUUCUCUAUGGCAGAAAGUGACGUACUCCUCUCAACUGGUCUGAGACAGGUGAACGCCAACUUCUUGGCAACGACUUGAUCACAGAAGCCGAAGAAAUGUGCAAAGCCAUUCGUGAGAAUCUCAAAGCCGCGCAAUCGCGACAGAAGAGUUACUAUGAUAGCAAGCACCGUGAUUUGGCUUUUGAAAUCGAAGACCAUGUCUACCUCCGCGUCUCUCCAAUGAAAGGCACUCGUCGCUUCGGUAUCACAGGGAAGCUUGCCCCUAGAUACGUGGGUCCUUUCAAGAUCAUUGGAAAAAGAGGCGAUCUCGCCUAUCAACUUGAGCUUCCAUCCAACUUUGCAAACGUGCACGAUGUGUUUCACGUGUCACAGCUUCGCAAGUGCUUCAAGACUCCUGAGCGCACUAUCAACUUCGAAGAAAUCGAUCUCCAAGAAGAUCUCUCUUAUCAUGAGCACCCCGUUGCUAUUCUCGAAGAAACCGAGCGCAAGACUCGCAACAAGUCAAUCAAACUCCUGAAAGUGAAGUGGUCACACCAUUCCGACCGAGAAGCCACCUGGGAGCGCGAGGAUCACCUCCGUUCUGAAUAUCCGGAGUUCUUUCAGUCCUAGAUCUCAGGACGAGAUCCUCUUGUAGUGGUGGAGUGUUGUAACACCCAGGAUGUAACUUUCCAUCUUUGUAACUCCAACUCUUGCCAUUUUCAGCUAUGUGAUAUGAUAUUUCCUCCAUGGUUGGGUUUUGUCUUUUGUUUUUCAUUUUAUUCAUGUCAUGCAUAUCAUAUGAUGUCAUCAUGUGCAUCUUAUUUGCAUACGUGUUCGUCUUAUGCAUCCGAGCAUUUUCCCCAUUGACCGUUUCGCAAUCCGACACUCCCACAUGCACCGGCGCACCCCUUUUGUCUCCUUUCGUGUGCGGGUGUUGAACGUUCUCGGAAUGGACCGAGCCUUGUCAAGUGGCCCUGGUAUAGCACCGGUAGACCACCUGUCAAAUUUCGGGUCAUUUGGAGCUCGUUUGGUACUCCAACGGUUAACCGCACUCCCGCUAAGGCCUCUUUUAAGUUGCAGCCCAACACCCCUCCAAAACAGCCCAAUAACCCAUCUAAGUCACCUCCAUGCUCUCGGUCGUUCGAUCACGAUCAUGUGGGCGAAAACUACACCCCAUUUGGACACUCCUAGCUCCCUCUACCUCUAUAUAUAGACCCCUCCCCCGAAUUCCGGACGAAACCCUAGCGAAUUCCCCUUCCGCCGCCACCGGACACGUCCGGCCGCAGCCGGACACGUCCGNNNNNNNNNNNNNNNNNNNNNNNNNNNNNNNNNNNNNNNNNNNNNNNNNNNNNNNNNNNNNNNNNNNNNNNNNNNNNNNNNNNNNNNNNNNNNNNNNNNNNNNNNNNNNNNNNNNNNNNNNNNNNNNNNNNNNNNNNNNNNNNNNNNNNNNNNNNNNNNNNNNNNNNNNNNNNNNNNNNNNNNNNNNNNNNNNNNNNNNNNNNNNNNNNNNNNNNNNNNNNNNNNNNNNNNNNNNNNNNNNNNNNNNNNNNNNNNNNNNNNNNNNNNNNNNNNNNNNNNNNNNNNNNNNNNNNNNNNNNNNNNNNNNNNNNNNNNNNNNNNNNNNNNNNNNNNNNNNNNNNNNNNNNNNNNNNNNNNNNNNNNNNNNNNNNNNNNNNNNNNNNNNNNNNNNNNNNNNNNNNNNNNNNNNNNNNNNNNNNNNNNNNNNNNNNNNNNNNNNNNNNNNNNNNNNNNNNNNNNNNNNNNNNNNNNNNNNNNNNNNNNNNNNNNNNNNNNNNNNNNNNNNNNNNNNNNNNNNNNNNNNNNNNNNNNNNNNNNNNNNNNNNNNNNNNCCGGCCUCGCCCUCCUCUCCUCCGGCCGCCGUCUCCAGCGCGCCCCGGCCUCGUCCUCCUCCCUCCGGCCGCCGUCGUCCCCGUCUCCGGCGAGCCGCGCUGCCGCCUCGGGAACCGCGCGCGCCAGAUCCAGAUCCAGAUCGGACCGGUUGACCUCUUCCCCCCUGUUUAUUUCACUAAGUCUUUUAUCUGCUGGUAAAAUCAUUGCAUGUUCAUCGCAUCACAUCUUCGCAUCCGUAGCUCCGUUUUGUGCGUGUAAUAUGUCAAAUUGUUCGCCUCGAAGAGUACAUCAUUUCAUUCCAUUGCAUCAUUUACAUUUGAGGUCAUCUUGAUGCCCGAAAUGCUGUUGGAAGAGGGCUUCAUAUUGUUAGUUUCAGAUCCUUAUCAGCACGAGCUCUUUUGUCAUUUUUGCCAUGAUUGAUGUGUGCAUCCUAUGAGGUUGAUCCCUAAAUGUGUUUUGAACUAGGCUAUGUCUUCUUUACAGAGGUGCUUACCAUGUAUUUUUGUGAUCAAUGUGGUGACUAGCACAAGCAUGCAAACUAGGCUUCGUGUUAACGCUGAUUUUAGUUCCUGUUCUGCUGCAAAUUUGAUGCCAUGUAAACAUGUUGCUAUAGAGAGAUCCAUGCAUAAUUUGAGAUACUUCAGUAAGGGUGUUUUGAAAACAUGGUUUUGCUCUAUUCAUCCAUGGUCCUGGUUGCAAUUAUGGAGUAGUAUAGCAUGUCAUUUUCGUGCUCUACUUUUGCUUCAAACUGUUUCCUGGCAGAUUGUUUACAUGUUAUUCAAUUUGGCUGAGGUUGUUGUAGUUGGUCCGGGUAUGCUAUGAUGUUGUUUCUUGCCAUGUAUAGCUUCUAUAUCAUGUCUUUUUGAUGGAUGUAUGCUUAGUUUAUCAUGAGGAGCUCUAUAGUGAGUGCAUCGAGCUCGCGAAGGUGCCUUCAUAAUUAUUUCAAUGCCAUGCUUUGUUUGCUGAAAUCAGUUAACGAAACUUGCUAUGUUUACGUGGGUGCCAUCAUAUUUUCUAGUCCUUUUUGACUUAUGGUCAGUAAGGGACUUUUGAUCUAUGCUUUGAGUAGAUUUAUGCCAUGUCUUAUUUUGCUAUUAUAAGUUCCUAUAGCAUGUUGAUAACCUGCUCUGAACAUUGCUUCGUGCUGCUGUUUAUGCCAUGUCCAGCCUGAUAAUUUUUUUGCACUUUCUUCAUGCUUGUUUGAACCUGUUAUGAUGUGAUUGAGCCGUAGCUCAGUGUUCCUAUUUUGUAAAGCAUCUCCUGUAGAUCACUGCCAUAUGCUUUGUUUUCAUGUUGCGGUGCUGUAGCAUAGUUUCUUGUUGCAUGCUAAGUAGCAUCGUGCUGUUAAACGCAGCUUUGUGUCAUACUUGUCUUGCUUGCCAUUUGCAAACCGUGCAUCCGUUCCCGGUGAUCUUUAUAUCGAUUUCACCCGAAUCAUCUCAUCUUUCCAGCGGCAUACUUGGUUUGCCAAGUUGAUGCCUUGUUCAUCCUUUUUCCUCCCGAAGCACGCAUAUGCAUUGCAUAUCACAUCUCGCAUAUCAUGACAUGUUUUGCAUCAUAUUGCUUGCGCAUUGCACAGUGAUUUAUUGUGGUUCCUUGCUCGUGUUCUUGCUUUGGGUAGAGCCGGGAGACGAGUACGUGCACGAGGAACCUGUUGAGAACGCUUACGAGGAUCAAACCUUCGACAACUCUGAGAACCUUGCAGGCAAGAUGAUCAUACCUUCGAAAUCAUUACUAUCUUUGCUUGCUAGUACUCGCUCUUUCGCUAUGUUAGCCCUACCUGCCUUUAUCUACCAUGCCUACCUAUUGCCAUGUUGAACCUCUAACCAUCCUGUCCUAGCAAACCGUUGUUUGGCCAUGUCACCGCUUUUGCUCAGCCCCUCUUAUAGCAUUGUUAGCUGCAGGUGAAGCUGAAGUUUGUUCCAGGUCGGAACGUGGUUAUUUUGGGGUAUCACAAUAUCUCCUGUUUAUAUUAAUGCACCUUAUAUACUUGGUAAAGGGUGGAAGGCUCGGCCUUAUGCCUGGUGACUUGUUCCACUCUUGCCGCCCUAGUUCCGUAUACCGGUGUUAUGUUCCUUGAUUUUGCGUUCCUUACACGGUUGGGUGAUUUAUGGGACCCCCUUAACAGUUCGCUUUGAAUAAAACUCCUCCAGCAAGGCCCAACUUUGGUUUUACCAUUUUCCACCUAAGCCCUUUUCCUUUGGGUUUUCGCGAGCCCAAGGGUCAUCUUUAUUACCCCCCCGGACCAGUGCUCCUUCGAGUGUUGGUCCGAAAUGAGCUGCCUGCGGGGCCACCUCGGGGAAACUUGAGGGCUGGUUUUACUCGUAGCUAGUCUCAUCCGGUGUCGCCCUGAGAACGAGAUAUGUGAAGCUCUUAUCGAGAUUUGUCGGUGCAUCGGGCGGCUUUGCUGGUCUUGUUUUACCAUUGUCGAAAUGUUUUGCGAACCGGGAUUCCGAGACUGAUCGGGUCUUCCCGGGAGAAGGUCUAUUCCUUCGUUGACCGUGAGAGCUUGUGAUGGGCUGAGUUGGGACACCCCUGCAGGGUAUAUAAUCUUUCGAAAGUCGUGCCCGCGGUUAUGAGGCACAUGGGAAUUUGUUAAUGUCCGGUUGUAGAUAACUUGACACUUGACCUCUUUAAAAUGCAUCAACCGUGUGUGUAGCCGUGAUGGUCUCUUCUCGGCGGAGUCCGGGAAGUGAACACGGUUUGUGUUAUGCUUGACGUAAGUAGUUUCAGGAUCACUUCUUGAUCGCUUCUAGCUUCUCGACCGCCGCGUUGCUUCUCUUCUUGCUCUCAUUUGCAUAUGUUAGCCACCAUAUAUGCUUAGUGCUUGCCGCAGCUCCACCAUAUCACACCUUUACCUACCUAUGAGCUUAAAUAGUCUUGAUCUCGCGGGUGUGAGAUUGCUGAGCCCUCGUGGCUCAUAGAUUCUACCAAAACAGAUGCAGGUGCCGAGGAUACUGGCGCAAAUGGCGCAACUGAGCUGAAGUGGGAAUUUGAUGAGGCCCUUGGUCGUUACUAUGUAUCAUUUCUAGAUGAUCAGUAGAGGUGCCCAGUCAGGACGAUCGGGGAUCUGUGUAGCAUUUGGGGUAGUCUUCUUUUAUUUUGGUUCCGUAGUCGGACCUUGAGUGUAAUCUGGAUGAUGGAUGUUUAUUUAUGUAUUGUGUGAAGUGGCGGCUGUAAGACAACUAUGUAUCUUUUCCCUUAUGUAUUACAUGGGUUGUGCGAAGAUUACCUCACUUGCGACAUUGCUUUCAAUGCGGUUAUGCCUCUAACUCGUGCUUCGACACGUGGGAGAUAUAGCCGCAUCGAGGGUGUUACAAGUUGGUAAUCAGAGCUAUCCCCGACUUAGGAGCCCCUGCUUGAUUGUUUGCUGGCGAUGUUGAGUGUAGAAACAAAAAUGUUUUGAGUCUUAGGAUUAUAUAUAUCGGAGAGUAGGAUUCUUUUUACUCCUCAGUCCCUUCGUCGCUCUGGUGAGGUCUCCUGACGUAGAUGUUUUGACUAUCCUCUUCUCAAAUUUCACUAAAAAAAAUUUAGGAUCACGUGGGUAUCUUGGAAUCGUUCUGAUAGUUUUGUGACGAGAACAUUGUUCUUGGUGCCUCCUGACAUUUAGGGGUUGUGGCAGUGUCCCGGGGAGUUGAGCUCCGAGGUGUUGUCGUCACAAUUUUAUCGUUGCAGUUCUGGAAUACCUGAGAUUUGCCGACGUCGAAAAUCUCUUUUAUGCAGUUGUUGGUGAGAUAACCCCGAUAACCCAGUACUGGGGCGAGCUCGGGAGUAUUGCCAUAACUCGUAUAACGGAUGCUUUUCGAAGGUUGAGGUACACGAUUUCCGAAGGUUUCUUGGUUAUGUGUUGACGGAUGGAUACAGCUGGAUGUAGGGAUUGCUAGUUUGGGUGAGAUAUUGUGCUUCCCCUGUAUCCCCAACACCAGAUUGCAUAACCAGAAAGUUUCGGGAGUUUAUAGGUGGGAUUCAAGUAGCUCUAGCAUUUCUUCCCGCAGAUAUUUGGUUUGUGAUUGGGUAAUCCUUACCACGUAUUUGUUCCAGUCGUACCUUGUUUAUUUCAUUCAUCAAUCUCUAUUCAAGUGGCUUCUCACCUUAAUGGACGUGUGAUGUUUACUUUGGAAUUCAUUCGUUCAUCCUUGUUUGAAUGUUUAUAGUUUAUUGUGAAGACUAUAUGUUGCAAUUUCUAUCCGAUUGAUUCAACUUGUCUAUCUGUCUAUCAAGAUGCUAACGGAUGUCACCCUCUUCAGGAUGGCUCCGCCAACGCGUCUGAAUCCGGAACGCAAUGAUGGGAGUCAGGCGAACCCUCCACCUCCACCUCCGCCUCCGGAGGCAUGGCAAGCUUUGAUGGCAGCCUCUAACGCUCAUGCUCAGAUGAUGAUCCAGCUCAUGCAAGAGCGCAACCAAGGCCAAGGCAACCAAGGGAAUCAAGGUCAAGGGCAGUUCAAUCAUCAGCCUCAGUUUCCUACCCUCAACCAAUUCCUUGCAAAUCAGCCGAAGUCUUUCAGCUAUUGUGUCGAGGCCACAGACGCCGAUGAUUGGCUCGUGGAUAUCAACAAGCAUUUUCAAUGCAGCAAUGUUAGGCCUGAGGACUAUGUCAAGUUCGCUUCUUUUCAGCUUAAGGAUCAGGCAGCUGAUUGGUUCCAGCAAUACAAGGAUUCCAGAGGUGGUCGAGUGAUUACUUGGACUGAUUUCUGUCGGGACUUUAAAGCUCACCAUAUUCCUACCAGUGUUGUUGAGAGCAAGCGAGAGGAGUUCCGCAAUCUCAAGCAAGGCAACAUGUCAGUGUAUGAAUAUAACAAGCAGUUUCAGAAACUUGCUCGCUUUGCUAAGCAAGAUGUUCCAGAUGAAAAAAGUAUGAUCUAUCAGUUCAGAGGUGGCCUUAGAGAGGAUCUGCAGUUAGCUCUCGUUCUUAUUGAGCCUACUCAGUUUGAUCAAUUCUACAAUAUGGCACUCAAGCAAGAAGGUGCUCAGCUCAAGUGUGAGGCUUCUAAGAAGAGAAUCAGAGAUGCAGUGCAAUCUUCUUCUUCCUCACAAGUGGCAGCUAAGCAGCAGAAGUUCUACCUGCCUCCUCCUCCGUUUCGUCAGCCUUACCAGCAGAAGAACUCAGGUGGUCGUGGAUCUUCCCACCCACCCAACCCAAGCUAUCAGAACAAGUCUCAGCCUCAAGCUCCAAGGUCAAGUGCUCCCUAUCAUCGUCCGCUCUUAGAAGUGACUUGCAACAAGUGCCAGUAGAAAGGUCACUACGCGAACAAAUGCUUAAAUCAAAGGCGCCUUCCUCCUCCUCCUGUGAGAUCUUCAAGCAAUGCAGUGGUCAAGCAUAAUUCCAAGUCUGCAAAGGUCAACAUGUUGAAUGCAGCUCAGGCAGAGGAUUCUUCAGAUGUGAUCAUGGGUAAUCUUCCAGUUAAUGAUAUUUCUGCAAAAGUCUUAUUUGAUACUGGUGCAUCGCAUUCUUUCAUGUCAUAUCCUUUUGCAUCGAAGCACAAUUUUGACACAGAGGAGUUACCUAGAGCUAUGCAAGUUAUUUCUCCAGCUAAGUGUUUGAGCUCUAGCAUGAUGGUUCCAAAUGUCGGUAUCAAGAUGGGCGACUAUAAAUUUUUGUCUUCUCCAGUUGUUCUUGGCGAUUCUGAUAUUGAUCUAAUUCUCGGGAUGGACUGGCUUUCUAAGCACAAGGCUCAGCUUGAUUGUGCUGCCAGGCAAAUUCAAUUGACUCACCCUUCUGAGGAUGUUAUCAUCUAUGCCGCUCGUGAUGAAACCAUUCGGUUGUUUUCUCUCAAUGAGAAGGGCGAAUUGGAUGCUAUUUCUCAAAUUCCAGUCAUUUGUGAGUACCAAGAUGUCUUUCUAGAAGAGCUUCCGGGUAUGCCUCCUCAUCGGCCAGUCGAGUUCGUUAUUGAUCUUGAGCCUGGAACAGAACCCGUUUGCAAGCGUCCAUACAAGCUUGGACCCUAGGAGCUGAAGGAAUUAAAGAAGCAGCUCGAUGAACAAGAGCAUCUGGGUUUGAUCAGACCGAGUUCUUCCCCAUGGGGUUGUGGAGUUCUUUUUGUCCAGAAGAAGGAUGGCACGGACCGACUUUGUGUCGAUUACCGUCCAUUGAACAAGAAGACUAUCAAGAACAAGUACCCACUUCCCAACAUCAAUGAGCUUUUCGAGCAACUCAAAGGGGCUAAAGUCUUCUCCAAGCUUGACCUUCGUAUGGGUUAUCAUCAGAUUCGCAUUCGUGAACAAGACAUUCCCAAGACAGCAUUCAGAACAAGCUAUGGUUCUUAUGAAUAUACUGUCAUGUCUUUGGGCCUUGUCAAUGCUCCUCCAACGUUCUCUCGCAUGAUGAACUUUAUCUUCAACCCCUACACCAAUGAAUUUGUUUUGGUGUAUCUCGAUGAUAUUUUGGUCUUCUCCAAGAAUAAGCAGGAUCAUGCCAAACAUUUGCGAUUGGUGCUCGACAAGCUCAGAGAGUAUCAAUUCUAUGCGAAGUUUUCCAAAUGUGAGUUCUGGCUUGAUGAAGUUCUUUACCUUGGCCAUAUCAUCUCCGCCAAGGGAAUUGCUGUUAAUCCGGCGAAGGUUUCUGCAGUUCUGAAUUGGGAACCUCCUCAGAAUGUCAAACAGCUCCGCAGUUUUCUCGGUCUUGCAAGUUAUUGCCGAAGAUUCGUUGAGAACUUCUCUAAGAUUGCAAAACCUCUUUCCAACCUCCUCCAGAAGCAUGUCAAGUAUGUCUGGACGCCUGAGUGCGACGUCGCUUUCAACACCCUCAAAGAGAAGCUAGUCAUAGCUCCUGUUUUGACUCCUCCUGAUGAAUCCAAGCCAUUCGAAGUAUUCUGUGAUGCUUCCCUUCAAGGUCUCGGUGCUGUGUUGAUGCAAGAGAAGAAAGUUGUGGCCUAUACCUCUCGUCAAUUGAAGCCCAACGAAAAGAACUACCCCACUCACGAUCUUGAGUUGGCGGCAGUUGUCCAUGCAUUGAUAACAUGGAGACAUCUCUUAUUGGGAAGGCAAGUGGACAUUUUCACCGAUCACAAGAGCCUCAAGUAUAUCUUCACUCAAUCCAACCUUAAUCUCAGGCAAACUCGAUGGGUCAAAAUGAUUCAAGAGUACAAUCCGAGUAUCGAAUAUACUCCUGGCAAGGCGAAUGUGAUUGCAGAUGCUUUGAGCAGAAAGGCUUAUUGCAACAGUCUAAUUCUCAAGCCGUUUCAACCGGAUCUCUGUGAAGCCUUCCGCAAGCUGAAUCUUCAAGUUGUUCCUCAAGGCUUUCUUGCCAACCUCAUAGUCUCUCCUACUUUGGAAGAUCAAAUUCGUGAGGCACAACUCCUGGAUACCAUGGUGAAGAAGGUGAAACGUGGUAUUGACAAGGGCAUUCCUAAAUACAAGUGCUAUCGCUUGGAUGACAAAUAUACUCUUUUCUUCGAGGAUCACAUUGUGGUUCCAAAAGGCGAUCUGAGAAAAGUCAUCAUGAAUGAGGCACACAAUUCCCUCCUAUCCAUUCAUCCUGGAAGUACAAAGAUGUACCAUGACCUCAAGCAGUCAUAUUGGAGGACUCGAAUGAAGCGAGAGAUUGCUCAAUUCGUGAAUGAAUGUGAUGUCUGCAGAAGAGUGAAAGCAGAACACCAAAGACCAGCUGGUCUCCUCCAACCUCUUGCUAUUCCGGAAUGGAAGUUUGACCAUAUCGAGAUGGACUUCGUGACUGGUUUUCCUAAGUCCAAGCGUGGAAAUGAUGCUAUCUUCGUUGUCAUUGACAAGCUUACCAAAGUGGCUCAUUUUCUUCCUAUCAAAGAAUCUAUCACAGCAGCUCAGCUGGCAGAGCUAUACACCUCCAGAAUUGUCUCCUUGCACGGCAUUCCACAAUUGAUAUCUUCAGAUCGUGGAAGCAUCUUCACUUCUAAGUUCUGGGACUCCUUUCAGACGACCAUGGUCACCAACAUUCGUUUCAGCACAACUUUCCAUCCUCAAACAAGUGGCCAAGUCGAGCGAGUAAAUCAAAUCCUUGAAGAUAUGCUCAGGGCUUGUGUCAUCUCUUUCGGUAUGAAGUGGGAAGAUUGUCUUCCAUAUGCCGAGUUUUCCUACAACAAUAGCUUCCAAGCGAGUUCGGGCAAGGCCCCAUUCGAAAUUCUCUAUGGCAGAAAGUGCCGUACUCCUCUCAACUGGUCUGAGACAGGUGAACGCCAACUUCUUGGCAACGACUUGAUCACAGAAGCCGAAGAAAUGUGCAAAGCCAUUCGUGAGAAUCUCAAAGCCGCGCAAUCGCGACAGAAGAGUUACUAUGAUAGCAAGCACCGUGAUUUGGCUUUUGAAAUCGAAGACCAUGUCUACCUCCGCGUCUCUCCAAUGAAAGGCACUCGUCGCUUCGGUAUCAAAGGGAAGCUUGCCCCUAGAUACGUGGGUCCUUUCAAGAUCAUUGGAAAAAGAGGCGAUCUCGCCUAUCAACUUGAGCUUCCAUCCAACUUUGCAAACGUGCACGAUGUGUUUCACGUGUCACAGCUUCGCAAGUGCUUCAAGACUCCUGAGCGCACUAUCAACUUCGAAGAAAUCGAUCUCCAAGAAGAUCUCUCUUAUCAUGAGCACCCCGUUGCUAUUCUCGAAGAAACCGAGCGCAAGACUCGCAACAAGUCAAUCAAAUUCCUGAAAGUGAAGUGGUCACACCAUUCCGACCGAGAAGCCACCUGGGAGCGCGAGGAUCACCUCCGUUCUGAAUAUCCGGAGUUCUUUCAGUCCUAGAUCUCAGGACGAGAUCCUCUUGUAGUGGUGGAGUGUUGUAACACCCAGGAUGUAACUUUCCAUCUUUGUAACUCCAACUCUUGCCAUUUUCGGCUAUGUGAUAUGAUAUUUCCUCCGUGGUUGGGUUUUGUCUUUUGUUUUUCAUUUUAUUCAUGUCAUGCAUAUCAUAUGAUGUCAUCAUGUGCAUCUUAUUUGCAUACGUGUUCGUCUUAUGCAUCCGAGCAUUUUCCUCAUUGACCGUUUCGCAAUCCGACACUCCCACAUGCACCGGCGCACCCCUUUUGUCUCCUUUCGUGUGCGGGUGUUGAACAUUCUCGGAAUGGACCGAGCCUUGUCAAGUGGCCCUGGUAUAGCACCGGUAGACCACCUGUCAAAUUUCGGGUCAUUUGGAGCUCGUUUGGUACUCCAACGGUUAACCGCACUCCCGCUAAGGCCUCUUUUAAGUUGCAGCCCAACACCCCUCCAAAACAGCCCAAUAACCCAUUUAAGUCACCUCCAUGCUCUCGGUCGUUCGAUCACGAUCAUGUGGGCGAAAACUACACCCCAUUUGGACACUCCUAGCUCCCUCUACCUCUAUAUAUAGACCCCUCCCCCGAAUUCUGGACGAAACCCUAGCGAAUUCCCCUUCCGCCUCCACCGGACACAUCCGGCCGCAGCCAGACACGUCGGGUUGCCCCGCCGCCAUGCUCAUCUUGCCUGCAAGGUCUUCCCGGAAGAAGGUCUAUUCCUUCGUUGACCGUGAGAGCUUGUGAUGGGCUGAGUUGGGACACCCCUGCAGGGUAUAUAAUCUUUCGAAAGUCGUGCCCGCGGUUAUGAGGCAGAUGGGAAUUUGUUAAUGUCCGGUUGUAGAUAACUUGACACUUGACCUCUUUAAAAUGCAUCAACCCUGUGUGUAGCCGUGAUGGUCUCUUCUCGGCGGAGUCCGGGAAGUGAACACAGUUUGUGUUAUGCUUGACGUAAGUAGUUUCAGGAUCACUUCUUGAUCGCUUCUAGCUUCUCGACCGCCGCGUUGCUUCUCUUCUUGCUCUCAUUUGCAUAUGUUAGCCACCAUAUAUGCUUAGUGCUUGCCGCAGCUCCACCAUAUCACACCUUUACCUACCUAUGAGCUUAAAUAGUCUUGAUCUCGCGGGUGUGAGAUUGCUGAGCCCUCGUGGCUCAUAGAUUCUACCAAAACAGAUGCAGGUGCCGAGGAUACUGGCGCAAAUGGCGCAACUGAGCUGAAGUGGGAAUUUGAUGAGGCCCUUGGUCGUUACUAUGUAUCAUUUCUAGAUGAUCAGUAGAGGUGCCCAGUCGGGACGAUCGGGGAUCUGUGUAGCAUUUGGGGUAGUCUUCUUUUAUUUUGGUUCCGUAGUCGGACCUUGAGUGUAAUCUGGAUGAUGGAUGUUUAUUUAUGUAUUGUUGAAGUGGCGACUGUAAGCCAACUAUGUAUCUUUUCCCUUAUGUAUUACAUGGAUUGUGCGAAGAUUACCUCACUUGCGACAUUGCUUUCAAUGCGGUUAUGCCUCUAAGUCGUGCUUCGACACGUGGGAGAUAUAGCCGCAUCGAGGGCGUUACAGCUUACCCUGGCUUUGUCAUGGUGAUUUUAAUGAAGUUUUAUGUCCGAAAGAGCACGAGGGUGUUGGUCAACGCAGCAAUGCACAGAUCCAGGCUUUCAGAGAUACAAUUGAUGUUUGCAUGUUACUAGACUUGGGCUAUACUGGUCGUUUUUGGACUUUCGAGAAGAAGGUCACUGGAGGUACAUACACAUGGUGCAGACUGGAUAGGGCGUUGGUCAGCACGGAUUGGAUGGCAAGGUUUCCACUAGCAGCUGUCACCCAUGAGAUAGCUGCUUCUUCAGACCACUCGGCACUGUUGGUUGAUAUGGGACGAAUGAAAAAGCAACACAAAAAACCGGAGUUUCGUUAUGAAGUAAUGUUGGAGACACAUGAGGGCCUCCAUGAUGCUCUAGUUGAUGGAUGGGAUGCAGUGGAGCCUUGCCUGACAGUUCAGGACAUGAGGAAUAAGCUCCGGAACUUGGCGGCAGGUCUAAGCAGAUGGAGCAAUGAUACUUUUGGUAAUGUGAAAAAGGAGAUUAAGCUCUUGAAAAAACAGCUGGAUCAGCUGCGGGGGGAUCCGCUUAGAACUGGAUCAUCACAUGUGGAACUCAAGAUCAAUGAACGCCUAAUUGAGAUGUGCCAUAGAGAGGAAUUAAUGUGGCGUCAGCGAGCAAGGAUCCAGUGGCUGUCAGCGGGUGAUAAGAAUACCAGGUUUUUUCAUCUUCGUGCAAGCUUGCGGCAAAAGAAGAAUAUGAUUAAGGCACUACAAAAUUCCUUGGGGGCGAUCGUUAUUGAUCCAUAUGAAUUAAAGGCAAUGGCAAAUAGUUUCUAUCAAACUUUGUACUCUUCGGAGGGAGUUGAAAACAUGGAUGCGGUGCUAGAUCAUGUGCCUAGGAAAGUAACAGAGGAAAUGAAUGCACGCCUUAAUGCCUAAUACACGUCGGAUGAGCUUAAGCAGCAUUAUUCCAAAUGUUUCCAACGAAAGCACCUGGUCCAGACGGAUUUCCUGCUCAUUUUUAUCAACACAACUGGGAUAUUUGUGGUGAUGAUGUUACAGGAAUUGUUUUGAGAAUAGUGCAAGGGGAGGAAAGCCCGGAAGGCAUUAAUGACACUGUGUUGGUCCUAAUUCCAAAGGUAAUGAGUCCUUCUCAGUUGUCUCAAUUUAGACCCAUCAGUCUUUGCAACGUGCUCUACAAGAUUGCAUCCAAAGUAGUUGCCAACAAACUCAAGAAUAUUUUGCCUGAUAUUAUAUCUGAGGAACAAUCUGCUUUCGUGCCUGGGAGACUCAUCACAGAUAACAUCAUAUGUGCUUAUGAACGUCUGCACUUCAUGAAGAGGACACGGUCACGAUCUAAUAGCUUUUGUGCUUUGAAACUGGACAUGAUGAAAGCCUAUGACAGAUUGGAAUGGCCAUAUUUGAAAGGUAUCAUGGGCAAAUUGGGUUUCUCUCAACAGUGGAUUGACAUAGUAAUGGGGAUGGUCUCAUCAGUAUCCUUUUAUGUUCUCUUUAAUGGAGAGAAACUUGAUUCAUUUAUACCUACAAGAGGUAUCCGACAGGGAGAUCCAAUCUCCCCCUACCUAUUCCUAAUUGCAGUAGAGGGCCUUUCGUGCCUCCUGAAAUCCAGUUCUCGGUCAUCAUUCGCAGGUAUUAAGGUGGCUCUAACGGCGCCCACCAUUAACCACCUUUUAUUUGCAAAUGACAGUCUGCUGCUUUUUAAGGCUAAUUUGGAGGGGUCAGAGGAAGUGUCAAACCUGCUUGAUAUUUAUUGCAGAGCAUCGGGACAGAGGAUAAAUAAUAAGAAGUCUUCCAUCUUCUUUAGUAAAGGAUGUCCAGAUUCCAUAAAGGAAGAGGCGAAGAAUUCCUUAAACGUCCAAAAUGAAUCAUUAAAUGAACAUUAUCUGGGUAUGCCAACUGAUGUAGGCCAGUCGAAGAAUGGCACUUUCAAGUAUCUGCGAGACCGAGUAUGGGAAAGGAUCAAAGGUUGGAUGGAGAAAUUACUAUCUGCGGUCGGAAAAGAAGUUUUAAUUAAGGCAGUUGCACAAGCAAUCCCUGUUUUUUCAAUGUCUUGUUUUCGUCUACCAAGGGGUCUGUCCGCCUAUGUGACAGUAUCACAUCCAUAAUUCGCCAAUUAUGGUGGGGAAGCAAACAAGGUAAGAGGAAACCUAGCUGGGUUGCAUGGGACAUGAUGACCAGGCCUAAGCACUUGGGUGGUCUUGGUUUUCGUGAUUUGGAGAUUUUCAAUCUAGCACUCUUGGCUAGGCAAGCAUGGCGGCUGAUAACCGAUGAGACCUCGCUUAGUGCAAAGGUGCUAAAGGCUGUAUAUUUCCCUCAAUGCUCACUCCUUGAAGCUGAGUUGGGAUCUCACCCCUCUCAGAUAUGGUGAGCAGUGCUUGAUGGGAGGGACAUUGUUGCACAAGGAGUGGUCCGGAGAAUUGGUAAUGGGGCUUCCACACUUAUCUGGCAGCAUAACUAGAUUCCUCGUGAUAACUUCAAGAUGCCGAUUACUUCACUUGUUCCUAAUCCGCCAGAAAGGGUGUCGGAACUGAUUGAUGCUACUUCAGCUCAAUGGAGAGAAGACCUAGUACGGUCUGUCUUUAGUCCUUUUGAUGCUGCAGAGAUACUCAAGAUACCGCUGUGCACGAGGAACAUAACAGAUUUUUGGGCAUGGCAUGAAGAGAGACGGGGAGUUUUCACGAUGCGUUCUGCUUACCGUAUGAUACUAAGAACGAAGAUCAGCUGAGGGAGUCCUGGACUAGGGGGUGUCCGGAUAGCCGAACUAUCAUCAUCGGUCGGACUCCAAGACUAUGAAGAUACAAGAUUGAAGACUUCGUCCUGUGUCCGGAUGGGACUUUCCUUGGCGUGGAAGGCAAGCUUGGCAAUACAGAUAUGCAGAUCUCCUACCAUUGUAACCGACUCUGUGUAACCCUAGCCCUCUCCGGUGUCUAUAUAAACCGGAUGGCUUUAGUCCGUCGGACGAACAACAAUCAUACCAUAGGCUAGCUUCUAGGGUUUAGCCUCCUUGAUCUCGUGGUAGAUCUACUCUUGUAAUACCCACAUCAUCAAUAUCAAUCAAGCAGGACGUAGGGUUUUACCUCCAUCAAGAGGGCCCGAACCUGGGUAAAACAUCGUGUCCCUUGUUUCCUGUUACCAUCCGCCUAGACGCACAGUUCGGGACCCCCUACCCGAGAUCCGCCGGUUUUGACACCGACAUUGGUGCUCUUGUUGAGAGUUCCUCUGUGUCAUCACCGAUAGGCUCGAUGGCUUCUUCGAUCAUCAACAAUGACGCAGUCCAGGGUGAGACCUUCCUCCCCGGGCAAAUCUUUGUAUUCAGCGGCUUUGCAAUGCGGGCCAAUUCGCUUGGCCAUCUGGAGCAGAUCAAAAGCUACGCCCCUGGCCGUCAGGUCAGAUUUGGAAGUUUGAACUUCACAGAUGACAUCCGCGGGGACUUGAUCUUCGAUGGAUUCGAGCCACAGCCGAGCGUGCCGCACUGUCACGACGGGCAUGACUUAGCUCUGCAGCCGGACAGUAACCUGGAGGCCGCACACGAGUCCGCUCCGACCUUCAAUUCGGAGCCGGCUGCGCAGAUCGAGGACGGGUGGCUAGACACCGCCUCGGGGGCUGCAACCUCUACGGCGAUAGAGCCGAACACUGACCUUGUCCCUCACGGAGCUCGUGACUCCGAGGUGCCGGACUCCUCGCCGGACUCCGAACCUCCCGCGCCCCCUCCAAUCGAAUCCGAUUGGGCACCGGUCAUGGAUUUCACCGCUGCAGACAUCUUUCAACACUCACCUUUCGGCGACAUCUUGAGUUCGCUAAAGUAUAUCUCAUUAUCAGGAGAGCCCUGGCUGGACUGCGGUCAGGACGGUUGGGAUGCCGGCGGCGAAGAAAUUCAAAGCCCACCCACCACCCACUUAAUAGCCACUGUCGACGAUCUAACCGACAUGCUAGACUUUGACUCUGAAGACAUCGACGGCAUGGACAACGACGCCGGAGACGACCAAGAACCAGCGCCUACUGGGCACUGGAAAGCCACAUCAUCAUAUGACAUAUACAUGGUGGAUACACCAAAAGGAAGCGACAACGAGGAACAACGGGACGUGGCAAAGGACAACUCCCCCAACAAACAACCAAAACGGCGACGCAAGCGCCGCCCGAAGUCCCACCUCGAUAGCAACGGCACCCAUACUGACCCAGCCUUAGAGCAGGGUGAAGCGGUGGACAACGAACAUGCCACCAAGCAAGCAUCCGAACAGGAUGGAUUGGACAAGCAACCCAUCCGCAGCGAAAACAACAGUCCAGACGAUCUCACGCCCGACAAACCACCGGAGCAUAAGAACCUUCAUAAAAGGCUCGUCGCCACUGCAAGAAGUCUGAAGAAGCAAAAGCGGAAGCUCAAAACAGCGGAGGACGCACUCAGAGUGAGAUGGAGCAAAGUACUCAAUACCGUAGAUAAAUACGACAAUAGUCACCAGGCGAAGAGCUACCCGAAGCGCAAGUUGUUGCCUGAAUUUGACGAGGAGGCCGUAGAGCCCCCACAGUCAAAAAACAAAGACGCCGCCUAACCGGAUAGACGACCAGAUGACAGGCUAAGAGCGGCAAGGGGCGCCACACACAAGCCGGCACACGAUCCACAUGAAGAUCCUCGCAAAAAAGAUGGCCCGGUCAGGUCCAUCUACGGGCCAAAAAAGAAGACUCCAGGGAGCAAUACAACCCGCCGAGUGUUUGAAGACAACGGCACACCUAAAUACAGGGGCGCCGCACACCCACUAUGUUUCACCGAUGAGGUACUUGACCAUGAAUUUCCAGCGGGAUUCAAACCUGUCAACAUAGAGGCAUAUGACGGAACAACAGACCCCGGAGUCUAGAUUGAGGAUUAUAUCCUACACAUACAUAUGGCCAGAGGAGACGAUCUCCAUGCCAUAAAAUACCUACCCCUCAAGCUCAAAGGGCCAGCUCGGCAUUGGCUCAAAAGCCUCCCAAAAAAUACCAUUGGAAGUUGGGAGGAGCUCGAGGAUGCGUUUCGAGCAAAUUUUCAGGGGACUUAUGUCCGCCCUCCGGAUGCAGACGAUUUAAGUCACAUAACUCAACAGCCCGGAGAGUCAGCACGAAAAUUCUGGAACAGGUUCCUCACCAAAAAGAACCAAAUAGUCGAUUGUCCGGACGCCGAAGCCUUAGUAGCCUUUAAGCACAACGUCCGAGACGAAUGGCUCGCCAGACACCUCGGCCAGGAAAAACCAAGAACAAUGGCCGCACUAACAAGCCUCAUGACCCGCUUUUGCGCGGGGGAAGACAACUGGCUGGCUAGAUGCAGCACCAGCGACCCGAGUACAUCCGAAGUCAGGGAUGGAAAUGGGAAGUCACGACGCAGAAAAGAUCAGUGCCGGAAUAAGGAAAAUGGCCCAAAUAGCACGGCGGUCAACGCCGGAUUCAAAAGCUCUUGGCCGAAUAAUAAAACACUGCCCCUCAAGGACAACAGUGACGAGCUAUCCAACCUAAACAAAAUUUUGGAUAGGGUAUGUCAAAUACAUAGUACCCCCGGGAAGCCUGCAAACCAUACCCAUAGAGAUUGUUGGGUCUUCAAGCAGUCCGGCCGGCUUAACGCCGAACGCAAGGGGUUCGACACACCAAGCGAAGACGACGAACCCCACAAGCAGCACGCCGGAAAACAGAAGACUUUCCCGCUAGAAGUCAAAACAGUGAACUCGCUUCAUGUGAUAACACAGAAACAUAGUGCGGCACCUGCUAUACCAGCACACCGUCCGCAGAAUGGGGAUAGACCCUACCGAAAUUCACAAUAGCGGCACUUCCUUCAAAGGAGUGACGCCUGGCCUUUACGCCAAAUGUACAGGCUCUGUAUCACUAGAGGUCGUGUUCGGUUCAUCCGACAACCUCCAUCGCGAAAAGCUCAUUUUCCAUAUCGCCCCAUUCAAAAGUAGCUAUCAAGCACUACUGGGACGCGAAGCAUUCGCCAGCUUUAACGCAAUACCGCAUUACGUGUCUCUUACGCUUAAAAUGCCUGGUCCAUACGGCAUAAAUCUCAGCUAAGGGUAAAUCUGAGUGUUCCUCGACCAUGGAAAACGUGAGACUGUGUUGACAGCCGCACACUAAUCCGACCCUGCUGGUCAAAACCCUAAAAACAGGUCAUUCAGACCUUGGACACGGUUAGGCGAGUCCGGCAUAAAUAAACAAGGGGCUUCACCGCCGCAUACCCCUUUUCAAGGGGCUGCACGUAUAAACAAUGAGAGCCAAUAAAGCUCAUAUUCAUCAUACUUUAUUUUAACUACACCUUUUGCACGAUAUUUUUCCAAACUAAGUUCUUCUCCUUUACAGAUGAAGCGCGUGCUACACCCGUCCAGGAUACAGCACAACGGAGACACAGGCGCAGACGUGCAGCAGGGACCCAUUACAAGGAUUCUUUUCAGAUUAAGACCCUGCGUAAACCUUUCUUACUGUCUCUUGUUGAUACACAUCCCCCGGUUUCUUACCAUAACCGAGGAGGAGGCUGGCGUUUUGGCAUCGGCCGCGUCAGAAGUUCCCGCCCGUACCUGGACACUAGGGGCUUAGGGCAUUGUUCUGCCCGGUAUCAUAAAGACCGAACACCUCAGGGAGUGCUCGGCGUCUCGAGUUAGGCCUUAUAUGCAUCAGCUCCGAAACAUGUCUUUGGUCAAAUGUUGGGUUUGCCCGGCUCCUGUGUUUUGCUGCCUUACGUUCCGCUCCAUCGGCUAACGCGGCACCAGGAGAACUACUGCGAUUGUGCCCCGGUUCGGCCGGGCGAGCACCUCAGUAGAGAAAGCCAAAAACUGACUGUCAUGAUAUAGCGAGAGACUGGUCAACCACUGGAUUGUUUAGAAUUCCUCCGCUUUGAUGAAGGACCACUUCCCGGUCAGGCACAUACGCGCCCCGAGUUCGGAGAAGCGCGGUGCCUCUAGGGGCUAUAUAGUAGCCCCACCUUCGAGCUCCUAUGACUAAGUGAAAGUGAUAAAGCAUUAUAGUCCGGUUGCCUAGUUUGCUACGCUAUCACCUCCUUCAAAGGACCAAGACGUUGGAUUAAGUGUGAAAAAGCGCUGUUCUUUUUGCAAACACCCCCGCACCAUGUGCGUGGGGGCUGAAGCCAAAGAUUGCCAUCUUUCAGGUUAUACAUACAUAUACUGCCGCACAGGAGAUAGUUCAAUACUUGAACGCACAAGUAUAAAAAGCUAUUGCAUUAUAAACAUGAUCUCACAAAUCAUACACGUCAUUUGAACAUAACAUCCUUCGAGCACUGCGACUCUAUUAAAUGAGCGCCCUACAGGACUCCCUCAAAAUAGUGCUCGGCGGGUAAUCGGCCUUUGUCCGAACCCCGGGAUGCAACAGCGGUGGCAUCCAUCUCCGCCCAGUAUGUCUUAACAUGGGCGAGAGCCAUCCGUGCACCUUCUAUGCAUGCCGACCGCUUCAUCGCCUCGAUAUGCGGCACCGCCCCAAGGAAUUGCUGCAACAAGCCAAAAUAACUCUCAGGCUUGGGCCUUUCCGGCCAGAGAUGAGCGACCACAUCUGUCAUGGCAAGUCCGGACAAUCUAUUCAGCUCAGCCCACUCAGCCAGCCGAUCAGUCAACGGAAGUGGAUGCUCCGGACUAUGGAAUUGAGACCAGAAAAGCUCUUCCAUUUCGUGAUCCUUCUGGCUUCGGAAGUGCACGACUGCGUCCGCCGCACUCGCCGCCAAAUCCAGAUAAGGAUCCUCCGCACCACACAAUUGGCCCAACUGAGCAUACUUUGGAUCCGUGAACUUCCUACGCAGCAGAAAGGGCUUUCCAGCCGCAAUGUCUCCGGCUUGACGCAGUUCUUCCUUCAUAGCCCGCAUCGCACUAUGGGCAUCCUUGGCUUCGGCGGCGGCCUUCUUUAGGUCCUCUUGCUCCACUCGGCGUUCUCUUUCAAGAACCUCAUAGCGGUCGGUAGCAUCUUUUAAUUUCACGGCCAUUCCGGCCAUCUCCUCCCUGCUUCGGCAGUGAGCAGCCUUUUCGGCUUUUAGCUCUUCCGCUGCCCUCGAGGCAGCCACAUCACUUUUCCUGGCUUGCUCCUUGGCUCGAGCGAGCUCUGCUCGAAGGUCUUCCAUAGCAGCGGCACCAUCUGCAUCAAGCAUACAAAUUGUAAGGAACGGGCAUCAGCUCCCUUACUAGGUGACCGCGGAGCAACCACCUACCUUGUGACUCGUUAAGUCAUUUAUUGACCAGCGCGAUGUCCGCAUCCGCAACGUCAAGUUGCCACUUCAGCUCGGCAACUCCAUCAGUCCGGCUGGCCACCGAACGUUCCGCCACCUACAUAGAAAAGGCGACAUUCUAUAACUGAGAUGAUGAUCCUCGGCACGCGGUCGCUUUCGACAGCAUACCAAGUCUCAGGGGCUACUAUCUAUAUAGGGCGCACUCCAUGUGCAAAACUAUCAAAAGGUAUGUCAUUUUUUGCGUACCUCAAGCCCCGUCAGCAAACUUCCGACGGCCUCAUUCAACCCGCUCUCAUCGGAUGAGAUCCUUUCAAUCACCAUACUCAUUAAUAUGCGGUGAUCUUCUAAGAUAGACGCCCUCUUGAGCAAAUCCCGCAGCUCCACCGGCCAUACUCCAGUGGGUGCCGAAAUCCCCGGCCCCGCCGGACUCGGGGAGACCCUCCGUGACACACCUCAGGGUCGUCCGCCCUGCCCGACAGUGCGGCAGAUGGAGGCAUUUCGCUCUCCAUCAUCUCCGGACGAAGGUCCCCUGAAGAUGAGCUCUGCUGAGAUGGGCUGAGAUCCGAACUACAAGGUGAAAACUUCGGUUACCCUUAGAAAUAAAGCAGGGGUGUCCCCUAUUACAAAAUUCCCAAUUUUUACUUACGGCUCGCUGGAGGGCUGAUUCUUCUGAGGAGACAGUGCUGCCGGGUCUCUUCCCGGCACAGGACCUUCCGGUGCAGAUUUCUUUCCCCGCUUUAAGGCCUUGGCCUCCGGGUCUUCGGAAGCGAUCCUCUUCUCCCCCUGGAAGGAGGGACUCUCGAUUCCCCCCUUACUGAAAGCCUCCUUGGCAGAGGUGGUAGUUUCCCUGUGCCCCCCUUCGCCCUCCUCCGAAGGUGCAACCUCCAACAUUUUGAUUAACACGGGAUCUGACGUGGUCUCAGGGAGGGGGGCCGGACACCGUAUCAGUUUUGCUUGCGCUAUCCACUCCUGUCCAAGGGAUAGCUGGUUAAAAGGCAAAUCCAUGAUAAAUAAAUUGACAAUGUGUCUAGACACAGGGCUACUUACUUGAGUAUCCGGGCGAUUGCAGCUUAGGCCAGCAUCCUCGGUCAAGUCCGGACGCAUCUCUUGCGAUCCGAAGAACAGUUUGUACAUCUCCACGGGCAUCAAACCCAUGAAGUUUUGGAGAUCCCGUGGCCCCUCCGGAUUAAAUUCCCACAGGCGGAGGGGGCGACGUUUGCAGGGCAGAAGGCGCUGAAUCAGCAUAACCUGUGCCACAACAACCAGAUUGAUCUCCCUUUCCUGGAGGCCUCGAAUUCGGCCCUGCAACAGGGGUACGUCUUUGGACGGCCCCCAGUCAAGCCCCUUGUUGACCCAUGACGUCAGCCGUUGUGGAGGGCCCGGGCGAAAGACGGGCGGCGGCCUCUGCCUGCUGCCCCUGGGAGCGGUGAUAUAGAACCACUCCUGUUGCCACAAGCCGAGCUCCUCUUGAAAAGAGCCCUCGGGCCAUGGAGCAUCAACCCUCUUGCUUAUAACCGGCCCGCCGCACUCUGCCUGACGCCCCUCAAUCAUCUUCGGCUCCACGUUGAAGGUUUUGAGCCACAAGCCGAAGUGAGGGGUAGUGCGGAGGAAGGCUUCGCAGACGACAAUGAAUGAUGAGAUGUGGAGGAUGGACUCCGGAGCCAAGUCAUGGAAUUCCAGCCCAUAGUAAAACUUGAGCCCCCUCACGAAGGGAUCCAUCGGGAAGCCUAAACCCCAACGGAGGUGAUACACAAACACGACGCUCUCGCCGGGCUCGGGAGUAGGAAUAACUUGCCCUCGGGCAGGCAACCUAUGCGAAAUCUCGUAGGUUAAGUACCUGGCGUCUCUCAGCUUUAGCACGUCCUCUUCCGUGACGGAGGAGGGCAUCCACCGGCCUGUAGGUCAGAGCCGGACAUUGUCGAAGGUCGAAAGUACCCAAUCUGGAGCCCUGGGUGUUGGAACUCGGGGCGAGGGGCGGAUUCGAUUGAGGAUUGAAGAAAAAGAACGGGCCUUGGUCUCAUUAUAAAGAGGGAGAAUACCAAGAGCCGUCCCCGUAACCGUUUGGAACCCGCCUUCGAUGGAGGGGGCGUGGCAACGAGCGCGGUUGGGUUACCCACGUCCGUAUUGAUGAGAAUCCCGGAAUAAGGGGAAUACGAUCUCUGCUUCGAUAAGACGUGCCAAGGAAACCGCUUCGCUAAACACGCUGAGGUGGUACAAUAAAAAUGAUUCGAGUAAAGGCUUGGUAGUGGUGUGACGUCACGCCACCAAAUACGUCAGCAUAUUGAACUUGUGUAAAUAUUAUUCUCUUUACGGUGGUAUGUGGAAUUUAUUUUGCAGAGCCGGACACUAUCCUGGUGUUCACAAUCUUCUAUAAAUUAUUCGGAGAAGGAACCCGCCUUGCAAUGCCGAAGACAACAUGCGCGUCGGACUCAUCGUCAUUGAAGCCUGGUUCCGGGGCUACUGAGGGAGUCCUGGACUAGGGGGUGUCCGGAUAGCCGAACUAUCAUCAUCGGCCGGACUCCAAGACUAUGAAGAUACAAGAUUGAAGACUUCGUCGCGUGUCCGGAUGGGACUUUCCUUGGCGUGGAAGGCAAGCUUGGCAAUUCGGAUAUGUAGAUCUCCUACCAUUGUAACCGACUCUGUGUAACCCUAGUCCUCUCCGGUGUCUAUAUAAACCGGAUGGCUUUAGUCCGUAGGACGAACAACAAUCAUACCAUAGGCUAGCUUCUAGGGUUUAGCCUCCUUGAUCUCGUGGUAGAUCUACUCUUGUAAUACCCACAUCAUCAAUAUCAAUCAAGCAGGACGUAGGGUUUUACCUCCAUCAGGAGGGCCCGAACCUGGGUAAAACAUCGUGUCCCUUGUCUCCUGUUACCAUCCGCCUAGACGCACAGUUCGGGACCCCCUACCCGAGAUCCGCCGGUUUUGACACCGACAUCAGCAGGGAAGGAUGGCUUCAUGAGGAAGAAGGUACUUCAAAGAUACAUGGAAGUAAGCAGUGGAGUGAAUCUGGCACAUACAAGUACCCUCAAAGCUGCGGAUGUUCGUUUGGCGUCUAGCCAGGCAGUCGAUGCCUACAGGUGAGGUUCUACAUCACCGUAACAUGACCGACGAAAAUACAUGCCACUUAUGUGGAGCUAUGGACACAUGGAGACAUGCGCUGUUGAAUUGCUCGAUGUCUAGGAACAUCUGGGCUUUAGCUCCCGAUGACUUUGUUGAAAAGGUGAUAAGCUGCCAGCAAGAUAGUCCGAAGCAGUGGUUGUUUGCUCUACACGAUAUGCUACGGCCUGAAGAGUUCAUUCGCCUUGUGGUUACAACAUGGGCGACAUGGAGUGCAAGGAGGAAGGCGAUCUAUGAGGACAUUUUUCAGUCUCCAUACUCCACGAACGGCUUCAUCACGAGUUACUUGUCAGAACUACAGCAGAUCAACAAGAGGUUACCAAGGCCAAUUACUACAUCUGUGCCGAGACCAAAACGCUGGCUACCUCCGGUCCAAGGAUGUGCCAAAAUUAAUGUGGAUGCAGCGCUGUCGAGAGGAGGUACGUAUGGUGCGGUUGCAGCUGUGUGUAGGGACCAACAUGGCCUGUUUCUUGGAGCCUCGGUCGUUGGUUUCCGACAAAUCAAUGAUCCUCAAACACUAGAAUCCCUAGCCAUCAGGGAAGCACUAGCUUUGGCGGAAGACUUAUACGUUCAAAGUAUUCAUGUGGGCUCCGAUUGCAAAACGGUGGUAGAAGAUAUACAGAGCAGUACUUCAGCUUCAUAUGGUGCGGUGAUACAUGAAAUCAUAGAACAUUCUGCUAGUUUUCAUCUUUGUAAAAUAGUUCAUGAAUUUAGGAGCUCAAACUUUGAGGCUCACAACUUAGGGAACCAUGCUUUAUCUCUCGGGGGUGUCCGCCAUGUCUGAUUAGGUCAUCCUGGAGAUCUUUUUUUCGUCCCUGUAAACAUUGUGACGGAUUAAUAAAAGCUUCGCGAGGUUGUCUCAAAAAAAAAUUACUCAUGAUUUUUUGACACUCCAUAGUGUCUAAAAAGGUCCUACAUUCUGACACAAAGGGAGUAAAUCAUAACAAAGUUGUCGGUUUUGCAACAUUUUUCCUUGAUUACUCAUGACUUUGUUAAAAAGAAUCUCCUCAUCCCUCCCUAAUUUUCUCAUCUUCAAUUUUCAAUGUCAUUUUCAGUAAAGAAACUGAGUUCCGUAUAAAUCAUAGUUUCCUCAGUUUUCCCCCAAUUUAUCUUCAAAUUCGUUGAGUUUUUGUUAAAAAAAGUUCCAUUUCCCCUACUUUUCUUUAUAUUCAUCUUUUGAUGAUAGUUAGGUUGCCACGUGUGCACAGUCACUGUCACAUCGUCGUUCUGAAAAGUUGGUUUUGCUUGGCUUCAUAGGUGAAGCCGAAAUGGCCAAAUAUGGAGUCCAAGAUAAGGAUGUAGGCGUGUCCGCGAAGUCCAUGACCGUCUUAGUGACUGAAUAUAAGCUAAUCGUUGCUACUUAUAUUCAUGUUGAUACAAAAUCGAUCAAUGUGGUUGGUCGCGGACUUCACGAAUGAUUAUCCCUGCACCCGUAAGUUGAGGUAAUCCUGUUAUACAGAAAGAUACUUUCUCCGUUCAGAAUUACUUGUCGCUCAAACGGAUGCAUCCGUUAGUGAUAGAUGUAUCCAUUUGAGCGACAAAUAACUCCAGACGGAGAAGUUAAUCUAAGCUAGACAAGACGGAAUACAGAUCCACACUGAAAGAACAUGAGCACCCCAAUUCGGAUGCUCAAUAGGAAAUGCUACUCAUCAUCAACUUACCAUCGAGCACAAGCAUCUGAGUAAUUUGAACUAAAACCACAACAAUUAUUAUGGAAUCGAGGGAGUACAUAAACUGAUCCCGUUGCACACGCACAGUACCGUCAGUUCGUUUGGUGACACACACCGGAAACCAUACGCGAUGGCCACCUAUAUGCGUACACGUAGUUUCGUGUCGCUGUGCCCACUGUACCUGGUCGUUGAUUAGUCUACCACUUAAGAAAAAGCCGAAUUCGUCCAUCUAUUUGAAAAUUCAAAAGGCUAGCCUUUCUAAAGUCUUCGCUGUAUAUGAGAGGUUCGGGGACCUUCUAUUUUAGCCCGCUGCGCGACCGCGAACCAGCCAACGAGUGCCCACCUUCGCCCCGUGUCUUUUUGGGACCGGCCCAUGUACGGGGCAGGACAUUUUGUUUUUCAUUUUUUAGAUUUUAGUCUUUAUCUUCAAAAAGGUUUCAACUUUUUCUAACAAAUCGUGAAAUUUGGAAAAACGUUCCAGAAACCAGAAACAUUUGUGGAUUAAAAAACUUGAUGUUGGAAAAUGUUUGCAUAUUCAAAAAAUGUUCACAGUUUUGAAAAUAAUUGUUCGAGAAAUCAAAAUGUUCAUCAUUCACGUAUUAAAAAAUAAUUGUGAAUCGAACAAAUGUUCUCAAAUUUGAUAAUUUUUUGUGUAAUUUUAGAAGAAUGUUCAGAAAAUUCAAAAAUGGUUCAUGAAUUACAAAAAUGUUCAUUCAAACUAUUUUCUGAUUCAAAAAAUGUUCAUGAAUUACAGAAAAGUCCACUGAUUCAAAAAAUGUGCUGACUCAAAAUGUCGUUUUAAAAAAUGUGCAAAAAUUUCCUUAAUUUCAAAAAUGUUUGCUAGUUCAAAAAUUAUUCACAAUCUCAAAAAUGAUCAUGAAUUUCAGAAAACAUUGUUCAUGAAUUUGUAAAAUGUUCAUGGUAUAAAAAAAUUCAUGGAUUUGUAAAAAUUAUUCGCGAAUUCAAAACUUAUUCUCGAUUUCAUAAAAAUGUUUGGGAAUUUAAAAAGUGUUCAUGAUUUUAAAAAUAUUCACGAAUUAGCAAAGAUAUUCACAUAAUAAAAAGAAAAGAAAACAAACAUGACAAAAAAAACGAAAAGAACGAAAAUGAGAAAAGCAAAAAAAUGAAAGAAAAACACAAAAAAGAGAAAAAAAAGUAUGCGAAGUUUCUAGAACCUUCCAAACCAGAAAGGAGCUAGUUGGACUGGCCCAAAUUGUACUUAGCCAGAAGCGGGGCUAUGCGGGCAGGCCUGCGAGUUGGGGCAAGGGCUACAACUCGUGCUUCUGCUCUGUCGAGAGCCUCGCCCGCAUCGCUUUAGAGCUUGAGGUCAUGGCGGGUGUGGUGCAUGGAGGAGAAACUGGAUCGGACUGGACAUGGUGUGUCAUGGAUCGAGUCGCACAUGUCCACCUAUAAGUAGCGGGCACCGGCGAGGACACACGUCAUGGUGCGUCAAUGCAUGCGUCGGAGUUGGUUUCUCGGCCACCAUGCGGCAAGCGGAUGAACGGGGCAACCAAUAUGAAUGUGACAGAUAGUCAUCUCAGCCUGUCUAGUCAAGUCACUCCGGCAUUGAACAUGCGCGAAGAACGGGAAGCGGGCGCGAGCGUGCUCUCGGUCGGUGGCUACUUCAAUGCCAGCUCUAGUGACCGGUCGCGUCCACUCUAGACCAACAUGAUUGCGGUGCGUGAAGCGGAGGGUUGUUGAUGCAUGAUAUUAUUUUGGGUGGGAUCGGGAGGUCGAACGCAUACAUGGUGAUGAUCCAGACGACUGAAAAGCCCCUGGUUUGCUUUCGGUUUACAAGAAAAUGAACGCGUGUCGGAUGGCAAACUACGUUUAGACUAUUCGGCCCGAUAGUUAUGGACAAAUUGAGAAUCCACGUUAGAGAUGCCUUUAAUUAGCGUUGUGCACCAAACGGGCUAAUUAAGCAAGGGCAUACGGCAACAAAACUGUAUAGGUAGGUGAUACACGGCGUAGCACCUCACUUGUCAUAUAGUAGUAUUUUUAUUAUAAACAAAUAUAUCAAAGUCAAAAUUAAAGAAGUCGCCGCAUAAUUUUUGCUAUCAGCAUGAACGUUAUCUUCCAAUGAUAAAAUAAUAUGCAUCAAUAAGACAUCAAAAUGUUGAACUUGAGAUUUGAUUUCUGACGAACCACAAAUAUCAAGGCCCCUCCAACUAUCCAACCAAUAGGGGUGUGUUUAGCUGCCUACAUCGUUUUAUGCGUCUUUAUAUGUGUGACAUAACUAAACUUGGCUGAGCAAAUGCAGACUAAAAACCAUGUCUUGCAUGUAGUUUGCCAGAUAGCAAGAACGACGUAGUUAGCAUUGUGAUCAAACCAAUAACACCCUAACUAGCAUUGUAAUCAUACCAAAAACACCCUAACUGGCAAACUAGCAUUGUCAUGCCUCUCCCCCCUACCCCAACAACCUAGUUAAUGUAGGGAAGUAGCAUGAACAUCCUAGGCAGGUAUAUAUCAUGGCUCCAAAUUGACUAGAAUAGAUUGGAUUCGAAUCCAAUCCGAUCGAUUCGAAACGAGGCAAAAAAUCAUAACUAGUAAUGGGAGCACGGGGAACAAAUAACUUAGCAGAGCGGUUACCGCCGAAGAGAACGCCAGUCGUGGACCAAACCCUAGCAAGAAUAGGGGUCCGACUGAUGCAGAUAGCCCGGCCAUUGCAGGGCCCAGUUCAAUGGCCCUCGGCAUUGCAUCGGUGCUCCUCAUGAUGUGCACAGUGGAGGAGAAGGGUGUCAUCGUCGAUGCUCCGACCGCACUCCCUAGAGCAAGGGGGGAAACCCUAUCGGCAAGGUCGAUGGGCUUCUCGCAACCGCCACCAUCACAGUAGACGAGCUUUCCCCCACAGCCAUACCGACUGACAUGAACCCCGACGAUGCGUCGAUGGUCACUGACUGCGUCUUGGUGUAGGGGGAAGGGGGACGGAUAGCCGCCAUGAGGUCAAUGCUUUGCCGGGCCAGGCCGGCCACCCACUGGUCUUGGAUGGGGUUGCUACCUGCGAGGACGAAAGUUGGACGUGCGAUUAAGGGUCGGCCAUGGGAGAGCACGAACGGGUAGAGAGAGAGAGAGAGAGAGAGAGAGAGAGAGAGAGAGAGAGAGAGAAAGAGGUGAAUGGGAGUGGACGGUGACCAAAGAGAGGGGAGGAAUUAUGAGACCUCGCGUCACCUCCUCUCCCAUGCUUCCCAACACAUGCAGACGAGGACUACACAUGCGUCAACCAAGUUUGGCUCGCGGAAAUCGGUCGUUCCCACUCAGCCUGGUCCUGGACUGCUUUAAGUACCAUGCAUGCCGAGAAACGCAGGCAACCUAUGAUGGAAAUAUGCCCUAGAGGCAAUAAUAAAGUUAUUAUUUAUUUCCUUAUUUCAUGAUAAAUGUUUAUUAUUCAUGCUAGAAUUGUAUUAACCGGAAACAUGAUACAUGUGUGAAUACAUAGACAAAACAUAUAGUCACUAGUAUGCCUCUACUUGACUAGCUCAUUAAUCAAAGAUGGUUAUGAUUCCUAACCAUAGACAUGUGUUGUCAUUUGAUUAAUGGGAUUACAUCAUUAGGAGAAUGAUGUGAUUGACAUGACCCAUUCCGUUAGCCUAGCACUUGAUCGUUUAGUAUGUUGCUAUUGCUUUCUUCAUGACUUAUACAUGUUCCUAUAACUAUGAGAUUAUGCAACUCCCGUUUACCGGAGGAACACUUUGGGUGCUACCAAACGUCACAACGUAACUGGGUGAUUAUAAAGGAGUACUACAGGUGUCUCCAAAGGUACAUGUUGGGUUGGCGUAUUUCGAGAUUAGGUUUUGUCACUCCGAUUGUCGGAGAGGUAUCUCUGGGCCCUCUCGGUAAUGCACAUCACUAUAAGCCUUGCAAGCAAUGUAGCUAAUGAGUUAGUUACGGAAUGAUGCAUUACGUAACGAGUAAAGAGACUUGCCGGUAACGAGAUUGAACUAGGUAUUGGAUACCGACGAUCGAAUCUCGGGCAAGUAACAUACCGAUGACAAAGGGAACAACGUAUGUUGUUAUGCGGUUUGAUCGAUAAAGAUCUUCAUAGAAUAUGUACGAGCCAAUAAGGGCAUCCAGGUUCCGCUGUUGGUUAUUGACCAAGAAUAGUUCUAGGUCAUGUCUACAUAGUUCUCGAACCCGUAGGGUUUGCACGCUUAAGGUUUCGAUGACAGUUAUAUUAUGAGUUUAUGAGUUUUGAUGUACCGAAGGAGUUCGGAGUCCCGGAUGAGAUCGGGGACAUGACGAGAAGUCUCGAAAUGGUCGAGAUGUAAAGAUCGAUAUAUUGGACGACUAUAUUCGGAGUUCAGAAAGGUUCCGAGUGAUUCGGGUAUUUUUCGGAGUACCGGAGAGUUACGGGAAUUCGCCGGGGAGUAUAUGGGCCUUAUUGGGCCAUACGGGAAUAGAGGAGAGAGGCCAAAAGGAAGGAGGCCUGCGCCCCUCCUCUGGUCCGAAUUGGACAAGGGGUGCAGCCCCCCUUUCCUUCUUCCUCUCCCCCUCUUUCCCCUUCUCCUACUCCAACAAGGGAGGUGGAAUCCUACUAGGACUAGGGAGUCCUAAUAGGACUCCACACUUGGCGCGCCCCCUCCUAGGGCCGGCCACCUCCCCCCUUGCUUCUUUAUAUAUGGGGGCAGGAGGGCACCCCAGAACAACACAAGUUGAUCUACGGAUCGUUCCUUAGCCGUGUGCGGUGCCCCCCUCCACCAUAUUCCACCUCGGUCAUAUUGUCGCGGAGUUUAGGCGAAGCCCUGCGCCUGUAGAGCAUCAUCAUCGUCACCACGUUGUCGUGCUGACGGAACUCAUCCCCGAAGCUUUGCUGGAUCGGAGCCCGGGGAUCGUCAUCAAGCUGAACGUGUGCUGAACUCGGAGGUGCCGUACGUUCGGUACUUGGAUCGGUCGGAUCGUGAAGACGUAUGACUACAUCAACCGUGUUGUCAUAACACUUCCGCUUACGGUCUACGAGGGUACGUGGACAACACUCUCCUGUCUCGUUGCUAUGCCAUCACCAUGAUCUUGCGUGUAUGUAGGAAUUUUUUUGAAAUUACUACGUUCCCGAACAGUGGCAUCCGAGCCUGGUUUUAUGCGUUGAUGUUAUAUGCACGAGUAGAACACAAGUGAAUUGUGGGCGAUACAAGUCAUACUGCUUACCAGCAUGUCAUACUUUGGUUCGGCGGUAUUGUGAGAUGAAGCGGCCCGGACCGACAUUACGCGUACGCUUACGCGAGACUGGUUUCACCGUUGCGAGCACUCGUGCUUAAAGGUGGCUGGCGGGUGUCUGUCUCUCUCACUUUAGCUGAAUCGAGUGUGGCUACGCCCGGUCCUUGCGAAGGUUAAAACAGCACCAACUUGACAAACUAUCGUUGUGUUUUUUGAUGCGUAGGUAAGAACGGUUCUUGAUAAAGCCCGUAGCAGCCACGUAAAAUUUGCAACAACAAAGUAGAGGACGUCUAACUUGUUUUUGCAGGGCAUGUUGUGAUGUGAUAUGGUCAAGACGUGAUGCUAUAUUUUAUUGUAUGAGAUGAUCAUGUUUUGUAACCGAAGUUAUCGGCAACUGGCAGGAGCCAUAUGGUUGUCGCUUUAUUGUAUGAAAUGCAUACGCCCUGUAAUUGCUUUACUUUAUCACUAAGCAGUAGCGAUAGUCGUAAAAGCAAUAGAUGGCGUAACGACAACGAUGCUACGAUGGAGAUCAAGGUGUCGCGCCGGUGACGAUGGUGAUCACGACGGUGCUUCGGAGAUGGAGAUCACAAGCACAAGAUGAUGAUGGCCAUAUCAUAUCACUUAUAUUGAUUGCAUAUGAUGUUUAUCCUUUAUGCAUCUUAUCUUGCUUUGAUUGACGGUAGCAUUUUAAGAUGAUCUCUCACUAAAAUUAUCAAAAAGUGUUCUCCCUGAGUAUGCACCGUUGCCAAAGUUCGUCGUGCCCAGACACCACGUGAUGAUCGUGUGUGAUAAGCUCUACGUCCAUCUACAACGGGUGCAAGACAGUUUUGCACACACGGAAUACUCAGGUUAAACUUGACGAGCCUAGCAUAUGCAGAUAUGGCCUCGGAACACGGAGACCGAAAGGUCGAGCAUGAAUCAUAUAGUAGAUAUGAUCAACAUAGUGAUGUUCACCAUUGAAAACUACUCCAUCUCACGUGAUGAUCGGACAUGGUUUAGUUGAUUUGGAUCACGUGAUCACUUAGAUGACUAGAGAGAUGUCUGUCUAAGUGGGAGUUCUUAAGUAAUAUGAUUAAUUGAACUUAAAUUUAUCAUGAACUUAGUCCUGGUAGUAUUUUGCAAAUUAUGUUGUAGAUUAAUAGCUCGCGUUGUUGCUUUCAUAUGUUUAUUUUGAUAUGUUCCUAGAGAAAAUUGUGUUGAAAGAUGUUAGUAGCAAUGAUGCGGAUUGGAUCCGUGAUCUGAGGUUUAUCCUCAUUGCUGCACAGAAGAAUUAUGUCCUUAAUGCACCGCUAGGUGACAGACCUAUUGCAGGAGCAGAUGCAGACGUUAUGAACGUUUGGCUAGCUCAAUAUGAUGACUACUUGAUAGUUUAGUGCACCAUGCUUAACGGCUUAGAAUCGGGACUUCAAAGACGUUUUGAACGUCAUGGACCAUAUGAGAUGUUCCAGGAGUUGAAGUUAAUAUUUCAAGCAAAUACCCGAGUUGAGAGAUAUGAAGUCUCCAACAAGUUCUAUGGCUAAAAGAUGGAGGAGAAUCGCUCAACUAGUGAGCAUGUGCUCAGAUUGUCUGGGUACUACAAUCGCUUGAAUCAAGUGGGAGUUAAUCUUCCAGAUAAGAUAGUGAUUGACAGAAUUCUCUAGUCACCAUCAACAAGUUAGUAGAACUUUGUGAUGAACUAUAGUAUGCUAGGGAUGAAGAAAACAAUUCCCGAGCUCUUCGUGAUGUUGAAAUCGACGAAGGUAGAAAUCAAGAAAGAGCAUCAAGUGUUGGUGAUUGACAAGACCACUAGUUUCAAGAAAAGGGCAAAGGGAAAGAAAGGGAACUUCAAGUAGAAUGACAAGCAAGUUGUCACUCCCACGAAGAAGCCCAAAGCUGAACCAAAGCCUGAAACUGAGUUCUUACACUGCAAAGGAAAUGGUCACUGGAAGCGGAAAUGCCCUGAAUAUUUGGUGGAUAAGAAGGAUGGCAAAGUGAAUAAGGGUAUAUUUGAUAUACAGGUUAUUGACGUGUGCCUUACUAGUGUUUAUAGUAGCUCCUGAGUAUUUGAUACUUGUUCGGUUGCUAAGAUUAGUAACUCGAAACAGGAGUUACAGAAUAAACAGAGACUAGUUGAAGGGGAAGUGACGAUGAGUGUUGGAAGUAGUUCCAAGAUUGAUAUGAUCAUCAUCGCACACUCCCUAUACUUUCGGGAUUAGUGUUAAACCUAAAUAAAUGUUAUUUGGCAUUUGCGUUGAGCAUGAACAUGAUUUGAUCGUGUUUAUUGCGAUACGGUUAUUCAUUUAAAGUUAGAGAAUAAUUUUUAUUCUGUUUACAUGAAUAAGACCUUCGAUGGUUAUACACCCAAUGAAAAUAGUUUGUUGGAUCUCGAUCAUAGUGAUACACAUAUUCAUAAUAUUGAUACCAAAAGAUGCAAAGUUAAUAAUGAUAGUGCAACUUAUUUGUGGCACUGCCGUUUGGGUCAUAUCGGUGUAAAGCGCAUGAAGAAACUCCAUAAAGAUGGAUUUUCGGAAUCACUUGGUUAUGAAUCAUUUGAUGCUUGCGAACCGUGCCUUUUGGGCAAGAUGACUAAAACUCUGUUCUCUGGAACAAUGGAACAAGCUACUGACUUAUUGGAAAUAAUACAUACCGAUGUAUGCGAUCCAAUGAGUGUUGAUGCUCGUGGCAAGUAUCGUUAUUUUCUUACCUUCACAAAAUGAUUUGAGCAGAUAUGGGUAUAUCUACUUGAUGAAACAUAAGUCUGAAAUAAUUGAAAAGUUCAAAGAAUUUCAGAGUGAAGUGGAAAAAUCAUUGUAACAAGAAAAUAAAGUUUCUACGAUCUGAUCGCGGAGGCGAAUAUUUGAGUUAUGAGUUUGGUCUUCAAUUAAAACAAUGUGGAAUAGUUUCACACCUCACGCCACCUGGAACACCACAACGUUAUGGUGUGUCCGAACAUUGUAACCGCACUUUAUUGGAUAUGGUGCGAUCUAUGAUGUCUCUUAUCGGUUUUACCACUAUCGUUUUGGGGUUGUGCAUUAGAGACAGCUGCAUUCACGUUUAAAAAGGGCACCAUCUAAAUCCGUUGAGACGACACCGUAUGAACUAUGGUUUAGCAGUAAACCUAAGCUGUCGUUUCUUAAAGUUUGGAGUUGCGAUGCUUGUAUGAAAAAGGUUUUCAACCUGAUAAGCUCGAACCCAAAUCGGAGAAGUGUGUCUUCAUAGAAUACCCAAAGGAAACUGUUGGGUACACCUUCUAUCACAGAUCCGAAGGCAAAGCAUUCGUUGCUUAGAAUGGAUCCUUUCUAGAGAAGGAGUUUCUCUCGAAAGAAGUGAGUGGGAGGAAAGUAGAACUUGAUGAGGUAACUGUACCUGCUCCCUUAUUUGAAAGUAGUUCAUCACAGAAAUCUGUUCCUGUGACUACUACACCAAUUAGUGAGGAAGUUAAUGAUGAUGAUCAUGAAACUUCAGAUUAAGUUACUACAGAAUCUCGUAGGUCUUACAGAGUAAGAUCCGCACCAGAGUGGUACGGUAAUCCUGUUCUGGAAGUUAUGUUACUAGACCAUGACAAACCUACGAACUAUGAAGAAGCGAUGGUGAGCCCAGAUUCCGCAAAAUGGCUUGAGGCCAUGAGAUCUGAGAUGAGAUCCAUGUAUGAAAACAAAGUAUGGACUUUGAUUGACUUGUCCAAUGAUCGGCGAGACAUUGAGAUUAAAUGGAUCGUCAAGAGGAAGACGGACACUGAUAGUAGUGUUACUAUCUACUAAGCUCGACUUGUUGCGAAAGGUUUUCAACAAGUUCAAGGUGUUGAAUAUGAUGAGAUUUUCUCACUCGUAUCGAAGCUUAAGUCUGUCUGAAUCAUGUUAGCAAUUGCCACAUUUUAUGAAAUCUGGCAAAUGGAUGUCAAAAUUGCAUUCCUUAAUGGAUUUAUUAAAGAAGAGUUGUAUAUGAUGCAACCAGAAAGUUUUUGUCAAUCCUAAAGAUGCUAACAAAGUGUGCAAGCUCCAGCGAUCCAUCUAUGGACUGGUGCAAGCAUCUCGGAGUUGGAAUAUACGCUUUGAUGAGUUGAUCAAAGCAUAUGGUUUUAUACAGACUUUUGGAAAGGCCUGUAUUUACAAGAAAUUGAGUGGGAGCACUACAGCAUUUCUGAUAAGUAUAUGUGAAUGACAUAUUGUUGAUCAGAAAUAAUGUAGAAUUAUUCUGCAAAGCAUAAAGGAGUGUUUUAAAGGAGUUCUUUAAAAGAAAGACCUCAAUAAAAGCUACUUACAUAUUGAGCAUCAAGAUCUAUUGAGAUAGAUCAAGACGCUUGAUAAGAUUUUUCAAUAAGUACAUACCUUGAUAAAAUUUUGAAAUAGUUCAAAAUAGAACAGUCAAAGAAGGAGUUCUUGCUUGUGUUACAAGGUGUGAAGUUGAGUAAGACUCAAGACCCGACCAUUGCAGAAAAUAGAAAGAGAAUGAAAAGUCAUUCCCUAUGCCUCAGUCAUAGGUUCUAUAAAGUAUGCUAUGAUGUGAGCCAGACCUAUUGUAUACCUUGCCCUGGUUUGGCAAGGGAGUACAAUAGUGAUCUAGAAGUAGAUCACUGGACAUUGGUCAAAAUUAUCCUUAGUGGAAUAAGGAUAUGUUUCUCGAUAAUGGAAGUGAUAAAAGAGCUCGUCGUAAAAGUUACAACGAUACAAGCUUUUACACCGAUCCAGAUGACUCUAAGUCUCAAUCUGGAUACAUAUUAAAAGUGGGAGCAAUUAGCUAGAGUAGCUCCGUGCAGAGCAUUGUAGACAUAGAAUAUUUGCAAAAUACAUACGGCUCUGAAUAUGACAGACCCGUUGACUAAGCUUCUCUCACGAGCAAAACAUGAUCAUACCUUAGUACUCUUUUGGGUGUUAAUCACAUAGCGAUGUGAACUAGAUUAUUGACUAUAGUAAACCCUUUGGGUGUUGAUCACAUGAUGAUGUGAACUAUGGGUAUUAAUCACAUGCAGAUGUGAAUAUUGGUGUUAAAUAACAUAGCGAUGUGAACUAGAUUAUUGACUCUAGUGCAAGUGGGAGACUGAAGGAAAUAUGCCCUAGAGGCAAUAAUAAAGUUAUUAUUUAUUUCCUUAUUUCAUGAUAAAUGUUUAUUAUUCAUGCUAGAAUUGUAUUAACCGGAAACAUGAUACAUGUGUGAAUACAUAGACAAAACAUAUAGUCACUAGUAUGCCUCUACUUGACUAGCUCAUUAAUCAAAGAUGGUUAUGUUUCCUAACCAUAGACAUGUGUUGUCAUUUGAUUAAUGGGAUUACAUCAUUAGGAGAAUGAUGUGAUUGACAUGACCCAUUCCGUUAGCCUAGCACUUGAUCGUUUAGUAUGUUGCUAUUGCUUUCUUCAUGACUUAUACAUGUUCCUGUAACUAUGAGAAUAUGCAACUCCCGUUUAUCGGAGGAACACUUUGGGUGCUACCAAACGUCACAACGUAAUUGGGUGAUUAUAAAGGAGUACUACAGGUGUCUCCAAAGGUACAUGUUGGGUUGGCGUAUUUCGAGAUUAGGUUUUGUCACUCCGAUUGUCGGAGAGGUAUCUCUGGGCCCUCUCGGUAAUGCACAUCACUAUAAGCCUUGCAAGCAAUGUAGCUAAUGAGAUAGUUACAGAAUGAUGCAUUACAUAACGAGUAAAGAGACUUGCCGGUAACAAGAUUGAACUAGGUAUUGGAUACCGACGAUCGAAUCUCGGGCAAGUAACAUACUGAUGACAAAGAGAACAACGUAUGUUGUUAUGCGGUUUGACCGAUAAAGAUCUUCAUAGAAUAUGUAGGAGCCAAUAUGGGCAUCCAGGCUCCGCUAUUGGUUAUUGACCAAGAAUAGUUCUAGGUCAUGUCUACGUAGUUCUCGAACACGUAGGGUCCGCACGCUUAAGGUUUCGAUGACAGUUAUAUUAUGAGUUUAUGAGUUUUGAUGUACCGAAGGAGUUCGGAGUCCCGUAUGAGAUCGGGGACAUGACGAGGAGUCUCUAAAUGGUCGAGACGUAAAGAUUGAUAUAUUGGACGACUAUAUUCGGAGUUCGGAAAGGUUCCGAGUGAUUCGGUUAUUUUUCGGAGUACCGGAGAGUUACGGGAAUUCGCCGGGGAGUAUAUGGGCCUUAUUGGGCCAUACGGGAAUAGAGGAGAGAGGCCAAAAGGAAGGAGGCCUGCGCCCCCCCCUCUGGUCCGAAUUGGACAAGGGGUGCAGCCCCCCUUUCCUUCUUCCUCUCCCCCUCUUUCCCCUUCUCCUACUCCAACAAGGGAGGUGGAAUCCUACUAGGACUAGGGAGUCCUAAUAGGACUCCACACUUGGCGCGCCCCCUCCUAGGGCCGGCCACCUCCCCCCUUGUUUCUUUAUAUACGGGGGCAGGAGGGCACCCCAGAACAACACAAGUUGAUCUACGGAUCGUUCCUUAGCCGUGUGCGGUGCCCCCCUCCACCAUAUUCCACCUCGGUCAUAUCGUCGCGGAGUUUAGGCGAAGCCCUGCGCCGGUAGAGCAUCAUCAUCGUCACCACGCACUGACGGAACUCAUCCCCGAAGCUUUGCUGGAUCGGAGCCCGGGGAUCGUCAUCAAGCUGAACGUGUGCUGAACUCGAAGGUGCCGUACGUUCGGUACUUGGAUCGGUCGGAUCGUGAAGACGUACGACUACAUCAACCGCGUUGUCAUAACGCUUCCGCUUACGGUCUACGAGAGUACGUGGACAACACUCUCCUCUCUCGUUGCUAUGCCAUCACCAUGAUCUUGCGUGUACGUAGGAAUUUUUUUGAAAUUACUACGUUCCCCAACAACCUAAUCUACCAAAUGACAGAUUUUUACAUCGCACAGGCCUCAUAGACAAUCAAACGCGUCCUAGAAGUAGGCUCUCCUGAUUUUGUUUUUUUUAAAUAAAUAACUUUAUUCCUCAUAUAAUAGCCAUGUCAUUUACAAUAUGUGGAAGAAUAAAGUCAAGGGGGUUGGAGUCCCAAAAUUGAGAUAAACCAAGACUAAAGCAGUGCUUUGCUAAACAAUCAGCAACACGAUUGGUUUCCCUUCUGCAAUGAACAAAGAUAACCUUUGAAAAGUCCAUCGCCAAUAGACUAGUCUAAGUGAUGAUUGGCACAUUGGGACCCAUGUAAGCAUCAAGGUCUGAAACUGCCUCCAAUGCAUUUAAACUAUCUGAUUCAAUGAUUAUAUUGAAGCACCCGAUAUUUGAAGCCAGAAUAAGACCAAUACCAAAUAGCCUUUUGUUAGAUCCUUGGGAUCGGAGUAGGCUAGAUCAUCCGGUAAACCUACCUUCUCCUGGUGCCGACGAGCUCGAUCCAGCGCCAGCCAUGGUGAUGUGGUGACGGCAGCGAUGUGGACAGAGAGAUGGCGAGAAGGUGGUGCUUCCCGUGAGCACCGCACUAACCCUAGAUCGGUAGGGCAUGUAGGUGGGGUUUGUGGCGGCGAUCAACUUCGUUAGUCGUGCUCUGGCCCCCACCUCUGUUAAUAUAGCACGGAUCACAGGGGCCCACCAACCAUAAUGGGUUGGGCGCCCCCGAUCAGGGUGCAUUGACCAAGGGCCUGGCAGGCUGUUGGGCCUGCAUAGAGGAGAUCAACCUAACAUUCUCCCCCUUGAUCUCAACACUUUUAACCUUAUACUUUCUAGUUUAUUUGUUUCAUCACAUAUUGGUGCAGAGAGCAUGUUUCAUCAUCACAACUCAAUUGCUGAUAGAAUCAUUCAGCUACAACAUACGUUUUGUUCAGAAACAAAUUCUGUUCCUUUUGGGCCUAUCCAGGAAUCAUAAGGUUUUCCCUUAAACCCAUGUCGGCUAAGUGUUCCUUGAACACACUGGGUGGUAAGCCUUUCGUUAGCGGAUUGAUACGUCCAUUUUGCAUCAUGCUUUUAUAUCGAUAUUUAUUGCAUUAUGGACUAUUAUUACACGUUAUGUCACAAUACUUAUGGCUAUUCUCUCUUAUUUUACAAGGUUUACAUGAAGAGGGAGAAUGCCAGCAGCUGGGAUUCUAGGAUGGAAAAGGAGCAAAUAUUGGAGACCUAUUCUGCAUAGCUCCAAAAGUCCUGAAACUCCACGAAAGUCAUUUUUGGAAUUAAUAAUAAAUAUUGAGCGGAAGAAGUACCAGAGGGGGCCCACACCCUGGCCACGAGGGUGGGGGCGUGCCCUACCCCCCUGGGCACGCCCCCUGCCUCGUGGGCCCCCUGGCAGCCCUCCGGUGCCCAUCUUCCGCUAUAUUAAGUCUUUUACCCUGGAAAAAAUCAGAAGCUAGCUUUUGGGACGAAACUCCGCCGCCACGAGGCAGAACCUUGGCGGAACCAAUCUUGGGCUCUGGCAGAGCUAUUCUGCCGGGGAAACUUCCCUCCGGGAGGGGGAAAUCACCACCAUCGUCAUCACCAACGAUCCUCUCAUCGGGAUGGGGUCAAUCUCCAUCAACAUCUUCACCAGCACCAUCUCCUCUCAAACCCUAGUUCAUCUCUUGUAUCCAAUCUUUGUACCAAAACCUUAGAUUGGUACCUGUGGGUUGCUAGUAGUGUUGAUUACUCCUUAUAAUUGUUGCUAGUUGGUUUAUUCGGUGGAAGAUCAUUUGUUCAGAUCCUUAAUGCAUAUUAAUACCCCUCUGAUCAUGAACAAGAAUAUGCUUUGUGAGUAGUUACGUUUGUUCCUGAGGACAUGGGUGAAGUCUUGCUAUUAGUAGUCAUGUGAAUUUGGUAUUUGUUUGAUAUUUUGAUGAGAUGUAUGUUGUAUCUCCUCUUGUGGUGUUAUGUGAACGUCGACUACAUGACACUUCACCAUUAUUUGGGCCUAGAGGAAGGCAUUGGGAAGUAAUAAGUAGAUGAUGGGUUGCUAGAGUGACAGAAGCUUAAACCCUAGUUUAUGAGUUGCUUCGUAAGGGACUGAUUUGGAUCCAUAUGUUUCAUGCUCUGGUUAGGUUUACCUUAAUACUUCUUUUGUAGUUGCGGAUGCUUGCAAUAGGGGUUAAUCAUAAGUGGGAUGCUUGUCCAAGAAAGGGCAGUACCCAAGCACUGGUCCACCCACAUAUCAAAUUAUCAAAGUAACGAACGUGAAUCAUAUGAGCGUGAUGAAAACUAGCUUGAGGAUAAUUCCCAUGUGUCCUCGGGAGCGCUUUUCUCUAUAUACGAACUUGUCCAGGCUUGUCCUUUUCUACAAAAAGGAUUGGGACACCUUGCCGCACCUUAUUUACUUUCAUUGCUUGUUACCCGUUACAAAUUACCUUAUCACAAAACUAUCUGUUACCGAUAAUUUCAGUGCCUGUAGAGAAUACCUUACCGAAAACCGCUUGUCAUUUCCUUCUGCUCCUCGUUGGGUUCGACACUCUUACUUAUCGAAAGGACUGCGAUAUAUUCCCUACACCUGUGGGUCAUCAAUACUCUUUUCUGGCACCGUUGCCGGGGAGUGAAGCGCCUUUGGUAAGUGGAACUUGGUAAGGAAACAUUUAUAUAGUGUGCUGAAAUUUACUGUCACUUGUUACUAUGGAAUAUAAUCCUUUGAGGGGCUUGUUCGCGUAUCUUCACCCCGACCAGUAGAGAAAAGAUUUGCUCCUCAACCUACUGAACCUACUGAAAUUUUUUACUUUGAAAUUCCUUCGGGUAUGGUAGAGAAACUGCUAGCUAAUCCCUUUGCAGGAGAUGGAACAUUGCAUCCCGAUUUACACCUAAUCUAUGUGGAUGAAGUUUGUGGAUUAUUUAAGCUUGCAGGUAUUCUUGAUGAUGUUAUCAAAAAGAAGGUCUUCCCUUUAUCUUUGAAGGGAGAUGCAUUGACAUGGUAUAGGCUAUGUGAUGAUAUGGGAUCAUGGGACUACAAACGAUUGAAAUUGGAAUUUCACCAGAAGUUUUAUCCUAUGCAUCUUGUUCAUCGUGAUUGUAAUUAUAUAUAUAAUUUUUGACCUCGCGAAGGAGAAAGCAUCGCUCAAGCUUGGGGGAGGCUUAAGUCAAUGUUAUAUUCAUGCCCCAAUCAUGAGCUCUCAAGAGAAAUGAUUAUUAAAAAGUUUUAUGCUCGGCUUUCUCUCAACAAUCGAUCCAUGCUCGAUACUUCUUAUGCUGGUUCUUUUAUGAUGAAAACUAUUGAAUUCAAAUGGGAUUUAUUGGAAAGAAUUAAACGCAACUCUGAAGAUUGGGAUUCCGACGAAGGUAAGGAGUCAGGUAUAACACCUAAGUUUGAUUGUGUUAAAUCUUUUAUGGAUACCGAUGCUUUUCGUGGAUUUAGCACUAAAUAUGGACUUGACUCUGAGAUAGUAGCUUCUUUCUAUGAAUCAUUUGCUACUCAUGUUGACCUCCCUAAGGAGAAGUGGUUUAAAUAUAAUCCUCCCACUGAAGUAAAAGUAGUUGCACCUAUUACAGUUGUAGAAAAGACUAUUACUUAUAAUGAUCAUAUUGUUCCUUCCACUUAUAUUGAGAAACCACCUUUUCCUGUUAGGAUAAAGGAUCAUGCUAAAGCUUCAACUAUGGUUUGUAAGAGUAAUACUAGAACAUAUACACCACCUGAGCAAAUUAAAGUUGAACUAGUAUUGCUAUGGUUAAAAAUCUCUUGGCUGAUAAUAUUGAUGGGCAUGUUAUUUAUUUCUGUGAUGCAGCUGAUAGAAUUGCUAGAUCCGAUGCUAAGAAACAUAGACAUGUUGUAGGCAUGCAUGUUAUUUCUGUUAAAAUAGGAGACCAUUGUUAUCAUGGCUUAUGUGAUAUGGGUGCUAGUGGAAGUGCCAUAUCCCAUUCCUUUUACAAAUAAAUUAUGCAUGAUAUUGCACCUGCUGAGAUAGAAGAAAUUGAUGUUACAAUUAAGCUUGCCAAUAGAGAUACUAUUUCGCCAAUUGGGAUUGUUAGAGAUGUUGAAGUCUUGUGUGGGAAAGUUAAAUAUCUUGCUGAUUUUCUUGUUCUUGGUUCCCCACAAGAUGAAUUUUAUCCCAUUAUAUUUGGUAGACCCUUCUUGAACAUUGUUAAUGCUAAGAUUGAUUGCGAAAAGGAUGUUGUUACUAUUGGUUUGGGGGAUAUGUCUCAUGAGUUUAAUUUUGCUAAAUCUCGUAGACAACCCCAUGAUAAAGAAUUGCCUAGUAAGGAUGAAAUUAUUGGUCUUGAUUCUAUUGUCGUGCCUCCUACUGAUCCUUUAGAACAAUAUUUGCUAGACCAUGAAAAUGAUAUGUUUAUGAAUGAAAGAAGGGAAAUAGAUGAAGUAUUCUUUAAACAGGGACCUAUUUUGAAACACAACUUGCCCAUCGAUAUCUUAGGGGAUCCUCCACCACCCAAGGGUGAUCCCGUGUUUGAGCUUAAACCAUUACCUGAUACUCUUAAAUAUGCUUAUCUUGAUGAAAAGAAAGUAUAUCCUGUUAUUAUUAGUACUAACCUUUCAGAGCAGGAAGAGGAAAGAUUAUUGAAAACUCUGAAGAAGCACCGUGCUGCUAUUAGAUAUACUCUUGAUGAUCUUAAGGGCAUUAGUCUCACUUUAUGCCAACACAAAAUAAAAUUAGGAAGAUGCCAAACUAGUUAUUUAUCACCAACGACGGUUAAAUCCUAAGAUGAAAGAAGUGGUAAGAAAGGAAAUACUAAAGCUCCUUGAGGCAGGUAUAAUUUAUCAUGUUGCUGAUAGUCAGUGGGUAAGUCCUGUCCAUUGUGUCCCUAAGAAGGGAGGUAUUACUGUCGUUCCUAAUGAUAAAGAUGAAUUGAUCCUGCAAAGAAUUAUUACAGGUUAUAGGAUGGUAAUUGAUUUCCGCAAAUUAAAUAAAGCUACUAAAAGGGAUCGUUACCCUUUACCUUGUAUUGAUCAAAUGCUAGAAAAACUAUCCAAACAUACACAUUUUUGCUUUCUAGAUGGUUACUCUGGGUUCUCUCAAAUACCUGUGUCAGCAGAGGAUCAAGAAAAGACCACUUUUACUUGCCCUUUCGGUACUUUUGCUUAUAGACGUAUGCCUUUUGGUUUAUGUAGCGCACCUGCUACCUUUCAAAGAUGCAUGAUGGCUAUAUUCUCUGACUUUUGUGAAAAGAUUUGUGAGGUAUUCAUGGAUGAUUUCUCCGUUUAUGGUUCCUCUUUUGAUGAUUGUUUGAGCAACCUUGAGUGAGUUUUGCAGAGAUGCGGAGAUACUAGUCUCGUCUUGAAUUGGGAGAUGUGCCACUUUAUGGUUAAUGAAGGCAUUGUCUUGGGGCAUAAAAUUUCUGAAAGAAGUAUUGAAGUUGAUAAAGCUAAAGUUGAUGCAAUUAAAAAGAUGUCGUGUCCCAAAGACAUUAAAGGUAUAAGAAGUUUCCUUGGUCAUGCCGGUUUUUAUAGGAGGUUCUUAAGGACUUCUCAAAAAUUUCCAGUCCUCUCACUAAUCUAUUACAAAAAGAUAUUCCUUUUGUCUUCGAUGAUGAUUGUGUAGAAGCAUUUGAAAUACUUAAGAAAGCCUUGAUUUCUGCACCUAUUGUUCAACCACCUGAUUGGAAUUUACCCUUUGAAAUUAUGUGUGAUGCUACUGAAUAUGCUGUAGGUGUUGUCCAAGGACAAAGAGUUAAUAAGAAACUAAAUGUUAUCCAAUAUGCUAGUAAAACUCUAGACACUGCCCAGAGAAAUUAUGCUACUACUGAAAAAGAAUUCUUAGCAGUUGUAUUUGCUUAUGAUAAGCUUAGACCUUAUAUUGUUGAUUCUAAAGUAACUAUUCACACUAAUCAUGUUACUAUUAAAUAUCUUAUGGAAAAGAAAGAUGCUAAACCUAGACUUAUUAGAUGGGUUCUCUUGCUACAAGAAUUUGAUUUGCAUAUUAUUGAUAGAAAGGGAGCUGAGAACCCCGUUGCAGACAACCUGUCUAGGUUAGAUAAUGUUUUUGAUGACCCACUACCUAUUGAUGAUAGCGUCCCUGAUGAACAAUUAGCUGUCAUAAAUGCUUCUCGUACUGUGAUACGUCUCCAACGUAUCUACUUUUCCAAACACUUUUGCCCUUGUUUUGGACUCUAACUUGCAUGAUUUGAAAGAAACUAACCCGGACUGACGUUGUUUUCAGCAGAACUGCCAUGAUGUUGUUUUAUGUGUAGAAAACAAAAGUUCUCGGAAUGACCUGAAAAUACACGGAGGCAAGUUUUGGAAAAUAUAAAAAAUACUAGCGAAAGACUCAAGACCAGGGGGGCCACACCCUGUCCACGAGGGUGGGGGCGCGCUCACCCCCCUGGGCGCGCCCCCUGUCUCAUGGGCCCCCUGAGGCUCCACCGACCUCAACUCCAACUCCAUAUAUUCCGUUUCACGGAGAAAAAAUCAGAGAGAAAGUUUUAUCGCGUUUUAUGAUACGGAGCCGCCGCCAAGCCCUAAUCUCUCUCGGGAGGGUUGAUCUCGAGUCCGUUCGGGGCUCCGGAGAGGGGGGUUCGUCGCCGUCCUCAUCAUCAACCAUCCUCCAUCACCAAUUUCAUGAUGCUCACCGCUGUGCGUGAGUAAUUCCAUCAUAGGCUUGCUGGACGGUGAUGGGUUUGACGAGAUUUACCAUGUAAUCAAGUUAGUUUUGUUAGGGUUUGAUCCCUAGUAUCCACUAUGUUCUGAUAUUGAUGUUGCUAUGACUUUGCUAUGCUUAAUGCUUGUCACUAGGGCCCAAGUGCCAUGAUUUCAGAUCUGAACCAAUUAUGUUAUCAUGAAUAUAUGUGUGCUCUUGAUCCUAUCUUGCAAGUCUAUAGUCACCUAUUAUGUGUUAUGAUCCGACAACCCCGAAGUGACAAUAAUCGGGAUACUUCUCGGUGAUGACCGUAGUUUGAGGAGUUCAUGUAUUCACUAUGUGUUAAUGCUUUGGUCCGGUUCUAUAUUAAAAGGAGGCCUUAAUAUCCCCUAGUUUCCGCUAGGACCCCGCUGCCACGGGAGGGUAGGACAAAAGAUGUCAUGCAAGUUCUUUUCCAUAAGCACGUAUGACUAUAUUCGGAAUACAUGCCUACAUUACAUUGAUGAAUUGGAGCUAGUUCUGUGUCACCCUAUGUUAUAGCUAUUACAUGAGCAAUCGCAUCCGACAUAAUUAUCCAUCACUGAUCCAAUGCCUACGAGCUUUUCACAUCUUGUCUUUCGCUUAUUUACUUUUCCGUUGCUACUAUUACAAUUACUACAAAACUGUUAUCUUUACUUUUGCCACUGUUACCUUUAUUAUCAUACUACUUUGCUACUAAAUACUUUGUUGCAGAUACUAAGUUAUCCAGGUGUGGUUGAAUUGACAACUCAACUGCUAAUACUCAAUAAUAUUCUUUGGCUCCCCUUGUGUCGAAUCAAUAAAUUUGGGUUGAAUACUUUACCCUCGAAAGCUGUUGCGAUCCCCUACACUUGUGGGUUAUCAUACUGCUCCAUGGUAUGCUGAUUAUGCUAACUACAUUGUUGCUAAAUUUAUACCACCUAGUUUCACAUACCAGCAAAAGAAAAGUUUUUCUAUGGUUUAAAACAUUACUUUUGGGAUGACCCACACCUUUAUAAAGAAGGAGUAGAUGGUGUUAUUAGACAUUGUGUACCUGAGCAUGAACAAGAAUAGAUCCUACGCAAGUGUCACUCCGAGGCAUAUGGAGGACACCACGCUAGAGAUAGAACUGCACAUAAGGUACUGCAAUCUGGUUUUUAUUGGCCUACUCUCUUCAAAGAUGCCCAUAUGUUUGUCUUGUCUUGUGAUGAAUGUCAAAGAAUUGGUACUAUUAGUAGACGUCAAGAAAUGCCUAUGAACUAUUCUCUUGUUAUUGAACCAUUUGAUGUUUGGGGCUUUGAUUAUAUGGGACCGUUUCCUUCCUCUAAUGGGUAUACACAUAUUUUAGUUGUUGUUGAUUACGUUGCUAAGUGGGUAGAAGCUAUUCCAAUUAGUAGUGCUGAUCAUAACACCUCUAUUAAGAUGCUUAAAGAAGUUAUUUUCCAAGGUUUGGAGUCCCUGGAUACUUAAUGACUGAUGGUGGUUCACAUUUUAUUCAUGGCGCUUUUCGUAAAAUGCUUGCUAAGUAUGAUGUUAAUCAUAGAAUUGCAUCUCCAUAUCACCCACAGUCUAGUGUUCAAGUAGAAUUGAGUAAUAGAGAGGUCAAAUUAAUUUUGCAAAAGACUGUUAAUAGAUCUAGAAAGAAUUGGUCCAAGAAACUUGAUGAUGCAUUAUGGGCUUAUAGAACUGCAUAUAAGAAUCCUACGGGUAUGUCUCCGUAUAAAAUGGUUUAUGGAAAAGCAUGUCAUUUACCUCUCGAACUAGAACAUAAGGCAUAUUGGUCCAUUAAAGAGCUCAAUUAUGAUUUCAAACUUGCCGGUGACAAGAGGUUAUUUGACAUUAGUUCACUUGAUGAAUGGAGAACCCACACUACAAAAAAAUACACUUCCGUGAUGAUACGUGUUUGUCACAAGAGGUCGCGUUUUCUGUCAUGCAUGUACAUCCAUGACGAUUUUAUGACAGAAUCAAGAUAGUCAUACCUAUGCUGUCGUAGAAGUGUUCCAUGACAUACACUUGUGGGUUAUCAAGACUAAUUUUUGGCACCGUUACCGGGGAGCAUAGCUCUAUUCUUUGAGUCACUUGGGAUUUAUAUCUGUUGAUCACUAUGAGGAACUUGAAAGACGAAAGAACCAAGAUUUUUCCCUCAACUACAAGGGGAGGUAAGGAACUGCCAUCUAGCUCUGCACUAGGUUCUCCUUCUGUUAUUAGUAAGCUUGCGACACCUAAACUUGCUACUGCUAUGAAUUCUGAUAUGUCGCAUGUUAUUGAUGAUGCCACUUCUGCUAUGCAUAAUACUUAUGAUGAAACUACUUAUGUGCGUGAUACCACUUUGCCAUCAGGUGAAUUUCUUGAUGAACAACUUGCUAGGGUUAGAGAGAAUGAAAUUACUGAAGAUGUUAUUAUUGAUGAUAGUGAUGAUGAAAGUUCUCCCCCUUAUUAUGAAUUACCUGUUGUUCCUAAGGGUUAUGUUAUGGAAGAGGAAGCUGCUAGAGAUAUCUUUGCUUGUAAAGAUAGAUAUGAUCUUAAAAAGUUAUUAGCUAAAUGGAAGGAGCAAUCUCUUAAUUCUAGAAUGAAACCUGGCCCUGCUUUUGCUACUUCACCUAUCUGUGUUACUGAUAAGGAUUAUGAAUUCUCUGUUGAUCCUGAAAUCAUUACUUUAGUUGAAUCUGAUCCUUUUUAUGGCCUUGAAUCUGAAACUGUUGUGGCACAUCUUACCAAGUUGAAUGAUAUAGCCACCCUGUUUACUAAUGAUGAGAAGUCUCGCUAUUGUUAUAUCCUUAAGAUAUUUCCGUUCUCAUUAAAGGGUGAUGCUAAGACUUGGUUUAAUUCUCUCGAUCCUGGUUGUGUGUGUAGUCCCCAGGAUAUGAUUUAUUACUUCUCUGCUAAAUAUUUCCCUGCUCAUAAGAAACAAGCUGCCUUGCGGGAAAUAUAUAAUUUUGUGCAAAUCAGAGAAGAGAGUCUCCCACAAGCUUGGGGGAGGCUUCUCCGAUUACUUAAUGCUUUGCCUGAUCAUCCUCUUAAGAAAAAUGAAAUACUUGAUAUGUUUUAUAAUGGACUAACCGAUGCUUCCAAGGGCUACUUGGAUAGUUGUGCUGGUUGUGUUUUCACGGAAAGAACAGUCGACGAAGUUGAAUUACUAUCGAAUAAUAUGUUGACUAAUGAAAAUAAUUGGACUCUCCCUAAGCCAAUUCCCGAGGCAAUUCCUGAACCAAUUGAGCCAACUCCUGACCCUAUUCCUAAACCAACUCCUAAUAAGAGAGGUGUUCUAUUUCUCAGUCCUGAAGAUAUGCAAGAGGCAAAGAAAUCAAUGAAAGAAAAAGGUAUAAAAGCUGAAGAUGUGAAAAAUUUACCACCUAUUAAGGAAAUACAUGGUCUUAAUAUACCACCUGUCGAAGAACCACAUUGUCUUGAUAACCCGACACAGGUAGUAAAGGUAAAUUCUCUCUAUAGAUAUGAUAAAGUUGAAAUCCCCUCUACUAAAUUUCAUAGCCCAUGCUUAGAUGAAUUUAAUGACUUUAUGGCUAGACAAGAAAGUUUUAAUGCUUAUGUUGGUAGAGAAUUAAAGAACAAUGCUUUCGAGAUAGGAUGCUUGAGUGAUUAUAUGGCUAGAGUUAAAGGUGAACUUAAACUCAUUAGCAAAUAUUCUUCUAUGGUUGCUACUCAAGGUGAGCAAGUACUUAAAGCUCAAAAUGAUUUGCUUGAUGAAUUAAAUAAUACGCCUGACUUUGCUAUUAGAGUGGCUACUAGAACUGGUAGAAUGACUCACGAACCUUUGUAUCCUGAAGGCCACCCUAAGAGAAUUGAGCAAGAUUCUCAGAGAAAUAAUUUAGAGGCACCUAGUUCUUCUAAAAAGAAGAAAAAGAAAAACGAUAGGACUUUGCAUGCUUCUAGUGAACCCGUUGUAGACACACCUGAGAAUCCUGAUGAUAUUUCUAUUUCUGAUGCUGAAACACAAUCAGGUAAUGAACAUGAACCUAGUGAUAAUGUUAAUGAUAAUGUUCAUGUUGAUGCUCAACCUAGCAAAAAUAAUGAAGUAGAAGUUGAACCUGUUGUUGAUCUUGAUAACCCACAAUCAAAGAAUCAACGUUAUGAUAAGAGAGAUUUUGGUGCUAGGAAGCACUGUAGAGAAAGAGAACCAUGGGUUCAUAAACCCAUGCCCUUUCCUCCUAAACCAUCCAAGACAAAGGAUGAUGAGGAUUUUGAGCGCUUUGCUGAAAUGAUUAGACCUAUCUUCUUACGUAUGCGCUUAACUGAUAUGCUUAAAGUAAAUCCUUAUGCUAAGUAUAUGAAGGAUAUCAUUACAAACAAAAGAAAGAUACCGGAAGCUGAAAUUUCCACCAUGCUUGCUAAUUACACUUUUAAGGGUGGAAUACCAAAGAAACUUGGAGAUCCGGGGGAUACCAACUAUACCAUGCUCCAUUAAAAUAAAUUAUGUUAGAACUGCUUUAUGUGAUCUUGGAGCCGGUGUUAGUGUUAUGUCUCUCCAUUUAUAUCGUAGACUUGAAUUGAGCAAGUUGACACCUACUGAAAUAUCUUUGCAAAUGGCUGAUAAAUCAACUGCCAUACCUGUCGGUAUUUGUGAGGAUGUGCCUGUUGUGGUUGCAAAUGUCACUAUCUUAACGAACUUUGUUAUUCUUGAUAUUCCCGAGGACGAUAGUAUGUCGAUUAUCCUUGGUAGACCCUUUUUGAAUACUGCAGGGGCUGUUAUUGAUUGCAACAAAGGCAAUGUCACUUUUCAUGUUAAUGGUAAUGAGCAUAUGGUACACUUUCCGAGGAAACAAUCUCAAGUUCAUAGCUUCAAUUCUAUUGGAAAAGUGCCAACUAUCAUUAUUGGAGGUUUUGAAUUUCCUCUCCCCACUGUCAAGAAAAAGUAUGAUAUUCUUAUUGUUGGGGAUGUUCAUAUCCCCGUUGAGGUAACUUAGUGUUAUUUGAAAUUUCUCCGGUUCCGUGUUAUUCAGAAUGAGUUUGUUAACAAGACUUGAUCAGCCUUGUUAGGGGAUUCAUUUUGAUGAUCAUGAGAUGGAUGAAACUAGAAGGCACAACCUUCUGUACCCUCUUUUAACUUUCUGUUAUUUAGAAUAAAUAAAGAAAAAAUAGUAUUAUCCAUCUGUUCUCUGAAUUAUCCAUGCAAUAAAAAAAUAUCCCAAAAAUAAAAGUGCUCCAAAUGCCCUGCAAAUUUAGUAUGAUUUUUUGUGGAAUAUUUGAGGAUUUUUGGUACUGAAAACACUACAGGAGGGGCAAGCACCUGGCCAUGAGGGUGGAGGGCGUGCCCACACCCCGUGGGCGCGCCCCUUGUCUCGUGGGCCCCUGGUGCCCCCCUCCACUUAUGCCAGCACCCACACACUCCUUAUUCCCAAAAAAAUCCCCAUCCAGCUCAAGCACGAGUUCGAGCUCAUUUUGCUGCGAUUUUCGAUCUCCUUGCUCAAAGCUCCAUUCACAAAACUGCUUUGGGAGAUUGUUGCUUGGUAUGUGACUCCUCCAUUGGUCCAAUUAGUUUUUGCCCUAGUGCUUUAUUCAUUGCAAAUUUUUACUACAUAGGUGACCCUGUUCUUGAGCUUGCAUGUCAAAUUUAUGAGGUCCCAAGUAAUUCUAAUGCAUGAUAUAGGCUCUAGGCAUUUGUAGGAGUAGUUGCUACCAAUCUUGUUUAGUUUUAUUCACUUUUAUUUUGAAGUUACUAAAAUUUCAGAAAUUUUUAGAAAAUGUUAAGGAGAUUUUUGAGGGGCUCUUAUAGCCAAGGCUCCCAGGAAAAACAAGCUAAAGAGAAGGAAAAGGCCAAGUAUAAUCUUCCUCACAUAGUGGAAGUACGGUCGUGUGAAUGGCCAUGCGAUAAUUUCUUGCGAGAAGCUGGAAUUUAUGAAGACUUUUAUUCUUUGAUCGAGAAUGCAGGCCUCACCGAUUUCCUCCACGACCGGAUCGAUCAGUAUCUCUUACUAACCAAUACUUUUGUGCAAAAAUUUUAUUAUUAUCCUGAGAAGUCACCGCCUUCAGUAUCAUUUCAUUUAUAUGAUGAAUUCAGGGAAAUGUCUUUACAUGAUUUUUGCACGGUAUGUAGGAUACCCUUUGAGGGAAAAUUAGAGGAACCACAUCGUAAAGAUGUGGAUGGCUUUGUUAACACUAUCACUGUAGGGGAUCCAAAGAAGGGUUCAGAUGCGAGAAUCUCUAGCAUACACUUUCCUGUUUUACGCUACUUUGCCAUAUUUGCUAGUAGAUGCUUGAUUGGUCGUGGAAAUAGUGGAAACUUCAAUGUUCCUUAUAUUAUCAUUCUUCACCAUGCCUUGUUUGGAGAUAAUAGUUUUAGUAUGGGUGUCAUUAUUGCUAAACGGCUAAGCCUGAAUCGUACAAAAGGCCCCAUCUUUGGAGGUAUCUAUGAUGCACGUCUUGCUAGACAUUUUGAGAUACCUAUUAGGCACCAUGAGAAAGAGGAGACAAAAUUGCCUCCUUACAUUUUAGAUUACAAGAGUAUGGUAGCACAUGAGUUCAUUGUUGACAACGAAGAUAAUAUGCUCUUGUAUAACGUGAGAUUUAAUAAGAAACACAAUGAGACUAUUAUUUUGCCCGCGCCUCUGUUGUUUGAUUUGAUUGCAGAUAAUUUUCUUGUCACGCCGGAAGUAGUGUAUGCUCAUCGAGGCCAACCAUUCACUCCAGAACCUGAGCCUGAGCCGAAACCUGCACUGGACCCUUAUCGAGCAUCAUCUUACCAGUGGGAUCCGGAAGAGACAGCCAGCCAGUGGUAUCCUGAUUAUACCCCUCAGUACACCGGGGAGAGUAGCCGCGGUCCGUGGCAAUAGACCAACUUAGGCCAAAAGCCUAAGCUUGGGGGAGUACGUAUUUCUCACCGACUUUACAUUCAUGUUCACACACUAUUCUAGUCGUCGGUGCUCAUACUCUUUCAUAGUAUUAUCCAUGCUAGUUUAAUUUUCUUUUUCUAGCUUUCUUCUUGUGUGUUUGAUAAACCUUAAGAAAACCAAAAAAAAAUAGUUAGUUUAAUUUCCAUGCUUGU
This 64515-nucleotide long non-coding RNA is filed under the name Triticum aestivum (bread wheat). RNAcentral's name for it is "long non-coding RNA (TAES_LNC027656)". The record is from RNAcentral. Lineage: Eukaryota; Viridiplantae; Streptophyta; Magnoliopsida; Poales; Poaceae.